GUGUGUAUGACUAAGAGGUGAAGGAGGGUUCAUCUUAUACAAAGGAUGAUUUGAUUAAUUUUAAAGAUUGGAUAAACAAUAAUUGCAUAUUCAAGUAAAAAUAACAUUGCUAAAAAGGAAAAUAAGUAUUUUAGUCCUCAAACCUAAAAUGGCUAAAAAUUUUAAUUAAUACAAUACAACUUCACCUACAAAAGAAAAAAAAAACCCAAAACUUUUCAAUAGCACAACUAAGUCCAUUUAUCAAAAAAAAGAAAUAUAAGGAAGUUGGACUCAUUUACUAGCAAUUUAACAUAUGACUAAAACCUAUUGAAGAAUUUGCAAUAGCACUUACUUUGGUCAUGUCCAAACUUAUUGCACAUGGUGCAAAAAGGGGUAGUGCUCGAGGAUGCUUCCACAUAAGAAAGACCCUACUUAACUGUUACAAAGGUUAUUUUCCCACUUGUGGGAAUGCUAACCUUGCUAAUAUAUUAUAUGCCAUGUUUAUCAUAUACAAAUUUUUCUUUACUAAAUAUUUCUUUAAUGAUCUUGGACCUAAAAUUAAAUAUUUCAUUAGUAUUGGUCAUGUCGUUCCUCAACUUUUCAACUUUUAGAGUUAAAUCUUUAUCUUUAUCAUUGAUAGUUUUAUGUUUAGUCCCUAGAAACUUCACCUUAUUAACAAUAUGUUCAUUUAAUAUUUUGAUAUUUUUAAUUUUCAAAGAAUCAUAGAGCUCAUUAAUUUUAAUGUCUUUUUAUUCACUUUUAUGCUUUCAACCUUUGUUUUUAGUUUUCCUAUAAUAAUGCAUCAUAGACCCCAUGUAUAUCAUUAAAAUAAAACUCAUUUUUUUCAUUAGGAUUCAAUUAACCCAAUGGAUCAUAAUCAAAAUUAGUUGCAUAUGAACAAAAGCAAUAAGAUUAUCAUUUUGUACAUCUUUACUUUCAUUUGAGUUCUUAGCCCUACAAUCAUCAAACAUGGAAUUACUCCAAGUUACCUACAUAGCCUUCAUACCUAAUGUUUUUAAGGCAAGGACAAUCAACAACCAUGUGUCCCAUUCCCCCAAUGGUUCACUACGAAAUCAAGGUACAUAUGUUAUGCUUUCUUUGUUUCAUAGUGAUUAGAGAGGAUAAACAUUGUAAAAAAAAAAGUUGUCAUAGUUAAUGUAAGCUAAAACUAAAAAACUUGCUUUUUCAAUUGUGUAAGCAUGUUUUGUUCUUGAUGAAUAUUUACAACAUUCAGAGUUACUAAUGUUUAUAAUUCACAGAGACCUCAUUAACAACAAGUAACAACUAAUUGUAAGUAACCAUGAAAAAAAAAUAAGGAGAAAAAUAAAGGAAAAUCAAGGAAAGUGUCAAAUUUUUUCAUCCCCAUAAAAAAUGCUAAGGAAGAAAAAUGUGAAGAAAGUUUAAAGAAAGUAUAUUUUUCAAAAAUUGAAUUUUCUUUCCCUUAAAGUUGGUAUGGACAACCAAACAAGAAAAUGAUUUUUAAAUUCUUUUUUGACCUUUUUCUAUCAUUCUUUUUUUUUUCCCCCUACUCUAUUUCCUUUCCCUCAAACUUUCUAGGUAGUAAACAUUACCUAAGAUAAAUAGGGAAGAAAAUAUUUUAUCAUUUAUUUAUUUAGUAUUUUUCUUACCUUUUUUUGUAUUUUAUCCAAAUAUAAGAAAACUACUUUUCUUUAUUUUUUCUUUUCCUUGUUGCUUUUCAAGAAUCAAGCAUACUUUAAACUCUAAUUAAGAGUUACAUAGAUUUACAGAGAAACAAUGCAACUAGUAACAAAAAAUUAAGGAAAUUUAAUUUUUUAAUUUUUGAGAGUAAGUAUAAUAAGAUUGGUUUGUUUGAUACAAAAUUUGAAUAAAAAUUAUUUUAAUGAAAAUUCAAGGAAAGGAAAAAAAAAAAAAAAAACUUGAUCUCUAGACUAUAAUACUAAAUCAAUUAAAAAAUCUCCUAACAUCGUUUAUGUUCAUCUUUUUUUUUUUAUGGAUUUGAAAAACCCAAUAAUUUGGAGAAAACUGAUUCAAGGAAGAAUAAUUUUUAGAAUAAAAUAUUAUUAUUUAAGAAGAUCAUAAAUUUUAUAGUCAUUGUUGAAAAUGAUAAAUGAUUAAAAAAAAAAAGGUAGUUGGAAAUUUAGAUACUUUUAUAAGACAAAUGCAUUUUUCUAGUCUGGUAUGAAAAAAGGUAAAAUGAUAGGCUUUGAUCAUUUUUCAAGUUAGUUUGUUUAAAUCAUUUUAAUUUAUUUUGAUUUAAGAACAAUAACUUUUAUUACACUAGUUAUUUUGAUUUUCUUUUGAUAGAUUUUGCAAGCUUAAGCAAUUUGGAGCUAUUGGAUUUGAGUUAUAAUUUAUUUAGUGGGAGCAUUCCAUCAUCUAUAAGAUUGAUGUCUUCUAUCAAGUCUUUAUCCUUGGCUGAAAAUUACCUCAAUGGUUUCUUAGCAAAUCAAGGUACAUAUAUUGUGAUUACAGGUUUUUCUAUUUUCUUUUUUAAUAUCUUGUUUGUUCUUUAUGCCAAUUAAGUCAUGCAUGUCUAUUAAUUUUUGGUAUUUAAUGAAAAACUUUAUUCUUAAUUCAUAAAGACCUCAUCAACUAUAAGUAACAGUUAGUUCUAAGUUUGGGGGCAUUGACAAGACGAGGAGAUGAUUGGUUACAUGUCUUAUUCUCUUUUGUUGGCUUUUGCCAAUUGAAUAAGUUUCAAGAAUUAGAUUUUUCUUACAACUUAUUCCAAGGAAUCCUUCCUCCAUGUUUGAAUAAUUUGACAUCUUUGAGGUUAUUGGAUCUCUCUUCCAACCUAUUCUCCGGAAAUCUUUCUUCCCCUCUGUUACCUAAUCUCACAUCCCUGGAGUACAUCGAUCUCAGUUACAAUCAUUUUGAGGGUUCAUUCUCUUUCAGCUCUUUUGCUAAUCACUCCAACUUUCAAGUGGUCAAACUUGGAAGGAAUAACAACAAAUUUGAGGUAGAAACUGAAUAUCCAGUUGAUUGGGUUCCCCUAUUUCAGUUGAAAGCUCUUAUGCUAUCCAACUGUAAGCUCAUCGAUGACCUUCCUGGUUUUCUUCGACACCAAUUAAGAUUAACCGUGGUUGAUCUCUCCCAUAAUAACUUGACUGGAAGUUUCCCCAUUCAGCAGCUUGAAAACAAUACAAGACUAGGAUCUCUAGUUUUGAGGAAUAACUCUUUAAUGGGUCAACUACUUCCCCUGAGACCUAAUAGUCGUAUCACUUUAUUGGAUAUCUCAGACAACCGACUUCAUGGGGAACUUCAACAAAAUGUGGCCAAUAUGAUUCCAAAUAUUGAGUUUCUAAAUUUAUCCAACAAUCUUCCCCUUCAUUUCAUCCAUAUUUGGAUCUACCUUUAAAUCUCUAUUGCAUACAACCCAUAUAUGAUUCCCUCUAAAUUUAGCCUUCAUUUCUUGUUAAGAGGUUUUAAAAGCCAGCAAUUUAAUUUACUUUCAUCCUCUAUAUAGAUGAGAACUCUUAUAUUUAUCCAAUGAUAGGUAACAUUUUUGCAAAUGCUUUUAUUUGAUUUUUUUAAUUGGUCUUAAAAAUAAGUGUUAAUAAAGAUCCACAAUAUAAAAUAAUAAAUUAUAUCUCAAUUGACCUCAAGAUACUAUUUACUUCUACUAACUCAUUUUACAUCUCAAUUGUUCUUAAAAAGUCUAUAAUGGUAAUUAACUAUAGAAUUCAAGUUUUAAUUAUGCAAAAAAUAUAUAAAGGUUUUUAAAAUUAAUAGAAAAAAAGAUUCUAAUAAAUAAUAAGUAGAUUGAAACAUUUAUUUCUAGAAGUAGAGAAAGAUGGAGGAUCAUAAAAGUUGAAAAAAGAAUAAUUUGGAAGUCAUAAAAUUUUGGAAAAAGAAUAAUUCAUAGAGACCUCAUUAACAACAAGUAACAACUAAUUGUAAGUAACCAUGAAAAAAGUAAGGAGAAAAAUAAGGGAAAAGCAAGGAAAGUAGCAAAUUUUUUCAUCCCCAUAAAAAAAUGAUAAGGAAGAAAAAAGUGAAGAAAGUUUAAAGAAAGCAUAUUCUUCAAAAAUUGAAUUUUCUUUCCCUUAAAAUUGGUAUGGACAACCAAACAAGAAAAUGAUUUUUAAAUUCUUUUUUGACCUUUUUCUAUCAUUCUUUUUUUUCCCCCUACUCUAUUUCCUUUCCCUCAAACUUUCUAGGUAGUAAACAUUACCUAAGAUAAAUAGGGAAGAAAAUAUUUUAUCAUUUAUUUAUUUAGUAUUUUUCUUACCUUUUUUGUAUUUUAUCCAAAUAUAAGAAAACUAUUUUUCUUUAUUUUUUCUUUUCCUUGUUGCUUUUCAAGAAUCAAGCAUGCUUUAAACUCUAAUUAAGAGUUACAUGGAUUUACGGAGAAACAAUGCAACUGGUAACAAAAAAUUAAGGAAAUUUAAUUUUUGAGAGUAAGUAUAAUGAGAUUGGUUUGUUUGAUACAAAAUUUAAAUAAAAAUUCUUUCAAUGAAAAUUCAAGGAAAGGAAAAAAAAACAAAUUUAUCUCUAGACUAUAAUACUAAAUCACUUAAAAAAAACUCCUAACAUCGUUUAUGUUCAUCUUUCUUUUUAUGGAUUUGAAAAACCCAAUAAUUUGGAGAAAACUGAUUCAAGGAAGAAUAAUUUUUAGAAUAAAAGAUUAUUAUUUAAGAAGAUCAUAAAUAUUAUAGUCAUUGUUGAAUAUGAUAAAUGAUUAAAAAAAAAAAAGGUAGUUGGAAAUUUAGAUACUUUUAUAAGACAAAUGCAUUUUUCUAGUAUGGUAUGAAAAAAAGGUAAAAUGAUAGGCUUUGAUCAUUUUUUAAGGUAGUUUGUUUAAAUCAUUUUAAUUUAUUUUGAUUUAAUAACAAUAACUUUUAUUACACUAGUUAUUUUGAUUUUCUUUUGAUAGAUUUUGCAAGCUUAAGAAAUUUGGAGGUAUUGGAUUUGAGUUAUAAUUCAUUUAGUGGGAUCGUUCCAUCGUCUAUAAGAUUGUUGUCUUCUCUCAAGUCUUUAUCUCUGGCUGGAAAUCACCUCAAUGGUUCCUUAGCAAAUCAAGGUACAUAUAUUGUGAUUACAGGUUUUUCUAUUUUCUUUUUUAAUAUCUUGUUUGUUCUUUAUGCCAAUGAAGUCAUGCAUGUCUAUUAAUUUUUGGUAUUUAAUAAAAAACUUUAUUCUUAAUUCAUGAAGACCUCAUCAACUGUAAGUAACAACUAGUUGUAAAUUUGGGGGCAUUGAUAAGACGAGGAGAUGAUUGGUUACAUGUCUUAUUCUCUUUUGUAAGCUUCUGCCAAUUGAAUAAGCUUCAAGAGUUAGAUUUUUCUUACAACUUAUUCCAAGGGAUCCUUCCUCCAUGUUUGAAUAAUUUGACAUCUUUGAGGUUAUUGGAUCUCUCUUCCAACCUAUUCUCCGAAAAUCUUUUUUCCCCUCUGUUACCUAAUCUCACAUCCCUGGAGUACAUCGAUCUCAGUUACAAUCAUUUUGAGGGUUCAUUCUCUUUCAGCUCUUUUACUAAUCACUCCAACCUUCAAGUGGUCAAACUUGGAAGGAAUAACAACAAAUUUGAGGUAGAAACUGAAUAUCCAGUUGGUUGGGUUCCCCUGUUUCUGUUGAAAGCUCUUGUCCUAUCCAACUGUAAGCUCAUCGGUGAUCCUGGUUUCCUUCGACACCAAUUAAGAUUAACCGUGGUUGAUCUCUCCCAUAAUAAUUAGACUGGAAGUUUCCCCAUUUGGCUGCUUGAUAACAAUACAAGACUAGGAUCUCUAGUUCUGAGGAAUAACUCUUUAAUGGGUCAACUACUUCCCCUGAGACCUAAUAGUCGUAUCACUUUAUUGGAUAUCUCAGACAACCGACUUCAUGGGGAACUUCAACAAAAUGUGGCCAAUAUGAUUCCAAAUAUUGAGUUUCUAAAUUUAUCCAACAAUCAUCCCCUUCAUUUCAUCCAUAUUUGGAUCUACCUUUAAAUCUCUAUUGCAUACAACCCAUAUAUGAUUCCCUCUAAAUUUAGCCUUCAUUUCUUGCUAAGAGGUUUUAAAAGCCAGCAAUUUAAUUUACUUUCAUCCUCUAGAUUGAUGAGAACUCUUAUAUUUAUCCAAUGAUAGGUAACAUUUUUGCAAAUGCUUUUAUUUGAUUUUUUUAAUUGGUCUUAAAAAUAAGUGUUAAUAAAGAUCCACAAUAUAAAAUAAUAAAUUACAUCUCAAUUGACCUCAAGAUACUAUUUACUUCUACUAACUCAUUUUACAUCUUAAUUGUUCUUAAAAAGUCUAUAAUGGUAAUUAACUAUAGAAUUCAAGUUUUAAUUAUGCAAAAAAUAUAUAAAGGUUUUUAAAGUUAAUAGAAAAAGAGAUUCUGAUAAAUAAUAAGUAGAUUGAAACAUUUAUUUCUAGAAGUAGAGAAAGAUGGAGGAUCAUAAAAGUUGAAAAAAGAAUAAUUUGGAAGUCAUAAAAUUUUGGAAAAAGAAUAAUUCAUAGAGACCUCAUUAACAACAAGUAACAACUAAUUGUAAGUAACCAUGAAAAAAGUAAGGAGAAAAAUAAAGGAAAAUCAAGGAAAGUGACAAAUUUUUUCAUCCCCAUAAAAAAUGAUAAGGAAGAAAAAGGUGAAGAAAGUUUAAAGAAAGUAUAUUUUUCAAAAAUUGAAUUUUCUUUCCCUUAAAGUUGGUAUGGACAACCAAACAAGAAAAUGAUUUUUAAAUUCUUUUUUGACCUUUUUCUAUCAUUCUUUUUUUUUUCCUUACUCUAUUUCCUUUCCCUCAAACUUUCUAGGUAGUAAACAUUACCUAAGAUAAAUAGAGAAGAAAAUAUUUUAUCAUUUAUUUAUUUAGUAUUUUUUUUACCUUUUUUUGUAUUUUAUCCAAAUAUAAGAAAACUAUUUUUCUUUAUUUUUUCUUUUCCUUGUUGCUUUUCAAGAAUCAAGCAUACUUUAAACUUUAAUUAAGAGUUACAUAGAUUUACGGAGAAACAAUGCAACUGGUAACAAAAAAUUAAGGAAAUUUAAUUUUUGAGAGUAAGUAUAAUGAGAUUGGUUUGUUUGAUACAAAAUUUGAAUAAAAAUUCUUUCAAUGAAAAUUCAAGGAAAGGAAAAAAAACAAAUUUAUCUCUAGACUAUAAUACUAAAUCACUUAAAAAAAACUCCUAACAUCGUUUAUGUUCAUCUUUCUUUUUAUGGAUUUGAAAAACCCAAUAAUUUGGAGAAAACUGAUUCAAGGAAGAAUAAUUUUUAGAAUAAAAGAUUAUUAUUUAAGAAGAUCAUAAAUAUUAUAGUCAUUGUUGAAUAUGAUAAAUGAUUAAAAAAAAAAAAGGUAGUAGGAAAUUUGGAUACUUUUAUAAGACAAAUGCAUUUUUCUAGUAUGGUAUGAAAAAAAGGUAAAAUGAUAGGCUUUGAUCAUUUUUUAAGGUAGUUUGUUUAAAUCAUUUUAAUUUAUUUUGAUUUAAUAACAAUAACUUUUAUUACACUAGUUAUUUUGAUUUUCUUUUGAUAGAUUUUGCAAGCUUAAGCAAUUUGGAGGUAUUGGAUUUGAGUGGUAAUUCAUUUAGUGGGAUCGUUCCAUCGUCUAUAAGAUUGUUGUCUUCUCUCAAGUCUUUAUCUCUGGCUGGAAAUCACCUCAAUGGUUCCUUAGCAAAUCAAGGUACAUAUAUUGUGAUUACAGGUUUUUCUAUUUUCUUUUUUAAUAUCUUGUUUGUUCUUUAUGCCAAUGAAGUCAUGCAUGUCUAUUAAUUUUUGGUAUUUAAUAAAAAACUUUAUUCUUAAUUCAUGAAGACCUCAUCAACUGUAAGUAACAACUAGUUGUAAAUUUGGGGGCAUUGAUAAGACGAGGAGAUGAUUGGUUACAUGUCUUAUCACUACUACAAAAAUUGAAAUUAAUGACGCUUUAUUUUAUGACGCUUUCUAAAAGCGUCAUUAUUGAGGGUAUACAAUGACGCUUAUAAGAAGUGUCAUAGUUGUAUUAUUUAUCUUGAUACUGAUUAUAAGUGUCAUUAUUUGAUGUCAUCUUUUUCCUUGUAACUGUGUAUAUAAUGACGCUUAUAAGAAGCGUCAUAGUUUUAUUAUUUACCUUGACACUUAUUAUAAGCAUCAUUAUUUGAUGGGUAUGUAAUGACGUUCUUGAGAAGUGUCAUAGUUGUAUUGACUUUUAAAAUUUUUGUUUUUAAGUUAACUUAUACAAAUUUUGAUAUUAGAAUAUUAUUCUAUAAAUUAAUUAUGGUAAAUUGACAUUAAUAUUAAUGACAUAAAGUUGCUACAUUAAGGUUUUUUUAAAAAAAUUUGGAUAUAAAUAAAAUAAAAUCCUAAUAAAUUAUUUUUUUAUUGUUUGAUAUUAAUUUUUUUAUAGUUUGUAUCAAUACAAUCUAUUUUCAUAAACUAUUUUUCAUUUUUAUUAAAUUAGAAAUUAUCUUAUAUUUCAUUUAAAAAUAAUUUGUUAAUUUAUUUGUGGACCACAAAAAAGUGGCCUAUUUUGAGCACUUGUUCGAGCCUUGGGCCACAUUUAUUGGGUUUAACCCUUUUAUUUGAGAAGGUUUUAUAGUUAAUGAAUAUAAAUUUGAAAUUAUUUAACUAAAAUGAAAUAAAUUAAUAUUUAAAUUAAUUUAAUGAUGAUUAGACUCACAAUAAAACUAAAUGCAAUAAGAAUAUUUAUAAAAACUUUCUAAUAUUUAUGGGAAUUAAGCUCAUUCUAUUAAAUUAGUUUUUUUUUUAAAUAUCAAUAUUCAAAUUAAACCAAUAUCAACCUAAAAUAUCAAAUAAUUAAACAAUAUAAAUUUAUUAUGAGUUCAAUAUAUAAAAAUUAUUAUUGGAAGAUGAAAUAAAGAAUACUAUUUUAAUUUAUUGAAAAAGGACAUGCAUGAUAUUUUAGAAUUUGUUAUAAAGUCUCCAUUGAAAACCCUAACUUUUGGAAGACAAGAAAGAAGGGAGAGAGCCACCGUUUUUAGUGAGAAAGAAGAGAAGAGAGAAAAAUGCAAGUUUUUCUCAUCAGGCCCAGAUUUCAUCAAAGGUCUGAUCCCACUUUGUCCGUGGUCCGAUCGAGCUGAAAUUUGGAGGAGAGUUUCGUGACUCAUUUAUCUUCAAUCUGAACGGUGAAGAUCGGAUUUGGAGUUUCGGAAAGUCAUUAGAAAGAAAGAGGAGAAGAGAGAAAAACGUAGGUUUUUCUCAUCAUGCCCAGAUUUUAUCAAAUGUCCGAUCCCGCUUCGUCCGUGGUCCGAUCGAGUUGAAAUUUGAAGGAGAGGUUUGUGGCUCAUGUAUCUUCAAUAUGAACGGUGGAGAUCUGAUUUGGAGUUUCGGACAGUCAUUAGAGAGAAAGAGGAGAAGAGAGAAAAACUUAGGUUUUUCUCAUCGUGCCCAGAUUUCAUCAAAUGUCUGAUCCCGCUUCGUCCGUGGUCCGAUCGAGUUGAAAUUUGAAGGAGAGGUUCGUGGCUCAUGUAUAUUCAAUAUGAACGGUGGAGAUCGGAUUUGGAGUUUUGGACAGUCAUUAGAGAGAAAGAGGAGAAGAGAGAAAAACAGUGGUUUUUUUAUAUCAUGCCCAGAUUUCAUCAAAGGUUCAAUGCCGCUUUUUUCAUGGUCUGAUUGAGCUGAAAUUUGGAGGAGAGGUUCAUAAGUCAUUAAUCUUAAAUUUGAACGGUGAAGAUCGGAUUUAGAGUUUUGGAAAGUCAUCUUUCAGCCAAAAACAAAACCUUUAUUUUAUCAAAGAUGGCGCUUCCUGAAAGUGUCAUUGUUGCCUAAGACAUACAAUGACAGAGGCGAAGAGGACGCUUUAGAGAAGCGUCAUCUGUUACCUUUCUUGACGCUUAAAAAACGUCAUAGUUUCCCAUUUUUCUUGUAGUGUAUUCUCUUUUGUAAGCUUCUGCCAAUUGAAUAAGCUUCAAGAGUUAGAUCUUUCUUACAACUUAUUCCAAGGGAUCCUUCCUCCAUGUUUGAAUAAUUUGACAUCUUUGAGGUUAUUGGAUCUCUCUUCCAACCUAUUCUCCGAAAAUCUUUCUUCCCCUCUGUUACCUAAUCUCACAUCCCUGGAGUACAUCGAUCUCAGUUACAAUCAUUUUGAGGGUUCAUUCUCUUUCAGCUCUUUUACUAAUCACUCCAACCUUCAAGUGGUCAAACUUGGAAGGAAUAACAACAAGUUUGAGGUAGAAACUGAAUAUCCAGUUGGUUGGGUUCCCCUGUUUCUGUUGAAAGCUCUUAUCCUAUCCAACUGUAAGCUCAUCGGUGAUCCUGGUUUCCUUCGACACCAAUUAAGAUUAACCGUGGUUGAUCUCUCCCAUAAUAAUUAGACUGGAAGUUUCCCCAUUUGGCUGCUUGAUAACAAUACAAGACUAGGAUCUCUAGUUCUGAGGAAUAACUCUUUAAUGGGUCAACUACUUCCCCUGAGACCUAAUAGUCGUAUCACUUUAUUGGAUAUCUCAGACAACCGACUUCAUGGGGAACUUCAACAAAAUGUGGCCAAUAUGAUUCCAAAUAUUGAGUUUCUAAAUUUAUCCAACAAUGGUUUUGAAGGUAUUCUCCCAUCCUCAAUAGCCGAAAUGAGUUCCUUACAGUCAUUAUAUUUGUCUGCUAAUAGUUUCUCAGGGGAAGUACCAAAACAAUUGCUUGCGGCAAAAUAUUUGUGGCUUCUGAAAUUAUCAAAUUAUAAAUUUCAUGGCGAAAUAUUUUCAAGGGACUUUAACUUGACUCAGUUAGGGUUUUUGCAUUUGGACAAUAAUCAGUUCAAGGGAACACUGUCAAAUGUAAUCUCCAGAAUCUCUAGGUUAUGGGUGUUGGAUAGGUAACAUGACCGAUUUGACUACACUGGUGUUGGGCAACAAUAGUUUUAAAGGCAAAUUACCACCUGAGAUUUCUCAAUUGUUGGGGAUGAUAUUUCUUGACGUUUCUCAAAACGCUCUUUUAGGAUCUCUUCCUUCUUUGAAGAGCCUGGAGUAUUUAGAUACCCAGAGAUUGAUACCCAGAGAUUUUCUCAAUUCCUCAUAUCUAUUGACUUUGGAUAUCAGAGACAACAGGUUAUUUGGAAGUAUUCCCUAUUCAAUCUCUAGACUUUUAGAGCUAAGAGGAAACCUUUUAAGUGAUUUCAUUCCAUAUCAGCUUUGUCAUUUGACUAAAAUAAGCUUGAUGGAUAUUUCAAACAACAAUUUUUCUGGGUCAAUUCCCGGAUGCUUUGGUCAUAUCGGAUUUGGAGAUUUCAAAACUGAGCACAAUGUGUAUAUACCGAUGUUGGAUUCGUAUUCAGAAAGCAAUCCUUCUAUAUAUACGGGUUACUUAAUAAAAUAUUUAUUUUUCUCUAGUGAACUCCCUGAUGAAGUAGAUGAAGUUGAGUUUGUUACCAAGAAUAGGUAUAGCUCCUACAGAGUAGAUAAAAAUAUUUGUUGGGAAUUUAGAUAUUUUUAUAGGAAAGUAGACAAGUAUUCUAAUUUAUAAAAACAAUGCAUUUCUUUAGUUUGGUAUAAAAAAAAAUGAAACGAUAGGUAUUGGUAUUUUUUUUAAAGCAACAAACGUUUUAUUUUAUUUGUAUUUAAGAACAAUGUCUUUUCUUAUACUAGUUAUUUUAAUUUUCUUUUGACAGAUUUUGCAAGCUUAAGCAAUUUGGAGAUACUAGAUUUGAGUUCUAAUUCCUUAAGUGGGAUUAUUCCAUCAUCUAUAAGAUUGAUGUCUCAUCUCAAGUCUUUAUCCUUGGCCGGAAAUCAGCUCAAUGGUUCUUUACAAAAUCAAGGUACAUAUGUUAUGAUUUGUUUGUUUCAUAUGGAUUAGAGAAGAUGAAUAUUGUAAAAAAAAAGUUGUAGUUAAUGUAAGCUAGAAAUAAGUAUCUUGCCUUAUAAAUUAUAUGAGCAUGUGUUUGUUCUUAAUGAAUCUUUACAACAUUUAGAGUUACCAAUGUUUAUAAUUCAUAAAGACCUCAUUAACCGUGAGUAACAACUAAUUGUAAGUAAUUGUGGAAAAAGUAAGGAAAACAAAAUGAGGGAAAAGCAAGGAAUUAGGAAAUUAUUUUGUUCCCAUUAAAAAAUGCUAAGGAAGAAAAAGGUAAAAGAAAGUUUAAAAAAAGUGUAUUUUUCAAAAAUUUAUUUCUCUUUCCUUUAAUUUUGCUAUGGACAACCAAACAAGAAAAUUAUUUUAUAAUUCCUUUUUUAUUUUUUUCAUUCUCUCUCUCUUUUUUCCCCUACUCUAUUUCUUUUCCCUCAAACUUUCUUGGUAGUAAACACAACCUAAGAUAAAAUGGGGAAGAAAAUUUUCAGUUUUUUUUUUAUUUUUUUAGAAUGUUUUCUUACUUUUUAGUAUUUUAUGCAAAUAUAGGAAAAUUAUUUUUUUUUCUUUUUUUUUCUUGCUCCUUUUCGGACAUGAAUCACACUUUAAAAGAAAAUUAAUUUUUAAUUAGGAGUUAAGAUAAAUUUAAGGAGAAACAGUGAAUCACGAAUAACAAAAAAAUAAGGAAAUUGAAUUUUUGAAAGUAAGUAUAAUCAAAUUGCUUCAUUUGAUACAAAAUUUGAAUAAAAAUUCUUUCAAGGAAAGGAAAAAACAUUUUUGUCUCUAGAUUAUAAUACUAAAUCAUGUAAAAAAUCUCUUAACAUCAUUUAUAUUCAUAUUUAUUUUUGUAGAUUUGAAAAAUUCAACAAUUUGGAAUAAACUUAUUCAAUGAAUAAUAAUUUUUAGAUUUAAAGAUUAUUAUUUAAGAUCAUAAAUAUUACCAUGAUUGUUGAUGUCUAAGAAGAUCAUAUUCAACAAUUUUUUUAAUAUGUUGUUUUUUUAUGGUAAUUAAUUGAUGUCUUGUAAUUUUUAAUAUUUAAUGAAAAACAUUAUUUUAAUUCAUCUAGAGCUCUUAAUUCAUGAAGACCUCAUUAAUGGUGAGUAAUAGUUGGCUGUAAGUUUGGAGUCAAAGACAUGUCAAGGAGAUGAUUAGUUACAUGUCUUAUUCUCUUUUGUAGGUUUCUGUCAAUUGAAUAAGCUUCAAGAGUUAGAUCUUUCUUACAACUUAUUCCAAGGGAUCCUUCCUCCAUGUUUGAAUAAUUUGACAUCUCUAAGGUUAUUGGAUCUCUCUGUCAACCUAUUCUCCGGAAAUCUUUCUUCUCCUUUAUUACCUAAUCUCACAUCCCUGGAGUACAUCGAUCUCAGUUACAAUCAGUUUGAGGGUUCAUUCUCUUUCAGCUCUUUUGCUAAUCACUCAAAGCUUCAAAUGGUCAAACUUGGAAUGAAUAACAACAAAUUUGAGGUAGAAACUGAAUAUCCAAUUGGUUGGGUUCCCUUGUUUCAAUUGAAGGCUCUUUCGCUAGACAGCUGUAAGCUCACCGGCGACCUUCCUAGUUUUCUUCAAUACCAAUUCAGGUUAGUGGGGGUUGAUCUCUCACAUAAUAACUUGACAGGAAGUUUUCCCAAUUGGCUGCUUGAAAACAAUACGAGACUAAAAUCUCUAGUUCUGAGGAAUAACUCUUUAAUGGGUCAAUUACUUCCCUUGGAACGUAAUACCCGUAUCCAUUCAUUGGAUAUCUCACACAAUCAGUUGGAUGGACAACUUCAAGAAAAUGUGGCCCAUAUGAUUCCAAAUAUGAAAUAUCUAAAUUUAUCCGACAAUGGUUUUGAGGGUAUUCUCCCAUCCUCAAUAGUUGAACUAAGAGCCUUAUGGUAUUUGGAUUUGUCUACCAAUAAUUUCUCUGGAGAAGUACCAAAGCAAUUGCUUGCAGCAAAAGAUUUGGGGGUUUUGAAAUUAUCAAAUAAUAAAUUUCAUGGUGAAAUAUUUUCAAGGGACUUUAACUUGAUUAGGUUGGAAGUUUUGUAUUUGGGCAAUAAUCAGUUGACGGGAACUCUGUCAAAUGUAAUCUCUAAAAGCUCUUGGUUGGGGGUGUUGGAUGUGAGCAACAACUACAUGUCAGGUGAAAUUCCAAGCCAGAUAGGUAACAUGACCUAUUUGACUACACUGGUGUUGGGCAACAAUAGUUUUAAAGGCAAAUUACCACCCGAGAUUUCUCAAUUGUGGGGUUUGGAGUUUCUUGACGUUUCUCAAAAUGCUCUUUCAGGAUCUCUUCCUUGUUUGAAGACCAUGGAGAGUUUAAAGCAUCUACAUUUGCAAGGGAACAUGUUUACAGGAUUAAUACCCAGAGAUUUUCUCAAUUCCUCACAUUUAUUGACUUUGGAUAUGCGAGAUAACAGGUUAUUUGGAAGUAUUCCCAAUUCAAUCUCUGCACUUUUGAAGCAGCUAAGGAUUUUUUUGCUGGGAGGAAACCUUUUAAGUGGUUUUAUUCCAAAUCAUCUUUGUCAUUUGACUGAAAUAAGCUUGAUGGAUCUUUCAAACAACUCUUUUUCAGGGCCAAUUCCCAAAUGCUUUGGCCAUAUCCGAUUUGGGGAGAUGAAAAAGGAAGACAACGUGUUUGGACAGUUCAUUGAAAUUAGGUAUGGAAUGGAUUCUCAUCUUGUAUAUGCAGGUUACUUGGUGAAAUAUUGGGAGGACUUAAGUUCAGUAUAUAAGGGAAAAGAUGAAGUUGAGUUUGUGACCAAGAACAGGCGUGACUUCUACAGAGGUGGCAUCCUUGAAUUCAUGUCUGGAUUGGACUUAUCAUGUAACAACUUGACAGGCGAAAUACCUCAUGAACUUGGAAUGCUAAGUUGGAUUCGUGCAUUGAACUUGUCUCACAAUCAAUUGAAUGGCUCCAUUCCAAAGAGUUUCUCCGAUCUUUCUCAAAUAGAGAGCUUAGACCUUUCUUAUAAUAAAUUGGGUGGAGAAAUUCCUCUAGAGCUAGUUGAACUCAAUUUUUUAGCGGUGUUUAGUGUGGCUUACAACAACAUCUCUGGUAGAGUUCCAAAUGCCAAAGCACAAUUUGCAACAUUUGAUGAAAGCAGCUAUGAAGGUAAUCCUUUCCUUUGUGGGGAACUAUUAAAGAGGAAAUGCAACACAAGUAUUGAGUCACCAUGCGCACCAUCACAGUCUUUUGAAAGUGAGACAAAAUGGUAUGAUAUCAAUCAUGUUGUUUUCUUUGCAAGUUUUACUACUUCAUAUAUCAUGAUCUUGUUAGGAUUUGUUACCAUCCUUUACAUCAAUCCUUAUUGGCGUCAUAGAUGGUUCAAUUUUAUUGAGGAAUGUGUAUAUUCCUGCUAUUAUUUUGUUUUUGAUAGUCUUUCCAAGUUCUCAGCAUAUUUGUAUAAUUAGAUACUUUUAAUUGGAUGAUGUUUGCAUAAUUAACUACUAUUUGUUUCCAUGGGAUAAAAAGAAAUGGGAUUAUAAUUGCUAUGAGUUGAAACUUACAUACUUUGCUCAAAUUCUAACAUCUUUUGAUUUUAUUUUCAAGUUCCGUUAUUUAUUAUGUAUUGUUUAAUUCAAGAUUUAACCAUAUUAUGCUACUCUUAUAAAAACAAAUUCAAAUUUUUAGGAACUUAGCAUUAAAAUAAUUUCAUAGUCAGAUUUUUAAAAAUAAAGAAGAAAGAAAAUAAUAAAUAAUUAGAAAAACAAUUCAAGGGAGUAUUAAAUUAUUAUCUUAGAAUUGUUUGGCGUAGUAUGGGAAUUCAAAAAUAAUCUUUCAAUUUGUUAGAAAUGUUUAUUUAUUUAUUAUAGCAAUGAUUGAAAUAUCAAUCACAAAGUAAUGUUUUCUUUUCUUUUGUAGGGCACUAACAUUUUUUCUUUGAUUGUAAUAAUUGAUAAAUAUAUUACACAAUUAUUUGUUUUAAAGAGGGGAGGGAUGACAAACAUAAUAACAUGUGAAAUAUUUCUAAAACUGUGAUGGGAAAUAAACCAUCUAAUUAGGGUGCAAUAUUAUUCAUUUUAAUUUAUAUGAAUUUACUUAUUUUUAUUUCCAUCAUAUUUUGAACUAUUUUUUGAAAUUAAGGGAGAUUAAAACAUCAUGAAUUUCUUAGUUUAAUUUAUAUUUUUAAUAAUAAAGCAUGAAAUAUUUAAAAAAAAAAAAGAAAAUCAUGAAUUUCUUUAAUUCCUUAGGAAACCAAUAUAUAAAAAAAGUUGAAUAUAUUAUUAUUUUAUAUCCUAAAUUUCUAAAUUUGUUCAUCACGUAUUUAUUUUUAUAUUAAAUUUAUUAUCAAUAAUUAUUUAUUAUAUAUUAUUAUUUUAUAUUUAAAAAUGUUCAUAAAUAAUUAAAAUUAAUAAAUAUAAAAAAUGAAAUAUUAAAAAAUUAAAUUAAAAAGAUUUCAUCAAGCUAACAUAUUUUGAUAAAAAAAAAAAGAGUAAAAAAGAAGAUGGGGAUAUUAUAGAGGUGGGGAAAAAGAUAAAAGAAAAAUCAUGUGGUAUAAUAAUUGCCACGUGUUAAAGUUAUUUUCUUUAAAAAUUAAUUAUAGUAAUGAUGAACUCAUUUGUCUUAUCAAAGUAAAUAAAAAUAAAUAAAUAAAAGAAAAAAAGAAAAAGAAAAAAAGUGGUGGUUGAUUGGAGGUUAGAGAGGAGGGUUUGAAGGUAAAUUUGGAAUAUUGAUUAUUUUCACUAAGUAGAUAUUUUGAAAGUUAUUUUCAAUGUUUUAAAAACCGGACCGGCCGGUCCGACCGGUCCAACCGUCGACCGGUCACCAUUCCGGUCCGAUCCGGUCAUUUGGACCGGAUUGAGAUCGAACCGGAGUUGAACCGCUCGAACCAGCGGUUCAACCGCUGAACCGGACAAACCGAUCGGUUCCAAGGGAACCGGCCAAUUCAAAUAAUUUUAAUUUUAAAAAAAAAAUUACACAAUAAAAAUAUUACUGUGGGUAAGCUGCAAGCAUGAAAGGUAGGAUUCCAUGUUGGGCCUGUCUUGUGACAAGCCCACACACCCACUCCAAUUACCCUGGGCCUCUUUUUUGAGCCCACAAGAUCAUGCCAAGGCUUUGCUGAGGAUGGCUUUUAUAGGAGUCAUUUGACUCCUUGUUCCUCUCAUAUUCCGAUGUGGGAUUGCAUUUUAUCAAUGAAAAAAAACAUAACAAACAUAACAAAACUCCACCAACAGAAUUUGAACCUUGGACCAAUCUUUAACUCUAGUCCACCUAGGAAACCACUCGGCUACAUGUGUUUUAUCAUCUAAUGUGCCAAACAAAAUAAUAUAUAUUAGAUUUUAAAUUUUUUUAUAAUAUUAAAUAAAAAUAAUAUAAUAUUUUUAAAAAUUAUGAAAUUAGUUUAAAUUUUCAUUUUUUUUAUAUUCACAUUUAAAUAUUAUACAUAUUUCAUUUAAUAAAAUUUAAAAUAUUAAUAUGAUUUAAUUUGAUAAUAUCAAAGAUAUAAAAUAAUAUUAUUGAUGUUUAAUUUAUUCAUAUAUAUUUUAAAAUUUUUUAUAAUUAUUUUUAAUUUUAAUAAUAUAUAAAUUAUAUAUUUAUUACGUCACCGGUUCGAUAGCGGUUCGACCGCCGGUCCGACCAGUGAACCGUGAACCGGUAACUUUUCCAGUUCGAUCACCGGUCCGAUUCUGAAAACAUUGGUUAUUUUGCCUGAAACCCAUAUUGUUUGAAAAUAAAAAAUCAAAGUUUUAAAAAAAUACAAUUUUUUUGAAAUGAUGCAUGAUUAUAUCAUUCCCCUAAUAGAUUAUUUAUUCCUUUAAACUUUACUUCAAAUAAAAUAGUUUUAAUUAUUUUCUUUUUGGAAUUAUAUUUAACAUAUUAUUAAAAAUAUAAAAAACAUUUUAAUAAUAUUGUUAAUGAGUUUAUAUAUAUAUAUAUAUAUUGUAAAAUAAUUAAAUUUAAAAAUAUUUAAAUUUAGUUAUGGGCUGCCCAUUUCAAAAUAAUAAGAAUCUCGUAACCUAAUUUUUCCAAAUUCCAGGUAAAUAUGCUAAUCUAAAAAUAAAAAAUAAAAAUUAGGUUUUUAUGCUCUCCAAUCUACCACUUAAGCAUCCGACAUGGCUAAAAUAAAUUACAAAAAAAAAAAAAAAAAAAAAAGGAAAAAAAACAAAAGUGUGUGAUCCUCUUUCUCGAGUCUUCACAUUUUGAGACACUGAAACCAAAUCAAAAUUAAUCCUUCAAAUUAAUUUUCACCUCCAAACAUGGCUAUCCGAAAAACCCUAACGUCUGCCUCCUCUUCCUCUUAUCCCGGAAACCUAAAUUCCGUGACCCUAACCCCUUCUCUUUCCGAAAACCCUCCGGAAUCGGAAGAUUCAUAAUUCUUCAGAAUUAAUUUUCACCUCGAAGCCAAACCCUAACUGCCUCAUCUUCCUCUCAUUCAUAUCCCAAAAGUAGCUUCAACAGUCAGGCCUGUAGCCAUGAAAGCCGUAGUGAUCACUACUUCCGGUGAUCCCCAAGUUCUCCAAGUGCAAGAAGUCGAAAACCCUGAAAUUGGAGAUGAUGAAGUUCUAAGUAGAGUGGACGCCGCUGCCAUUAACCGAACAGAUACGCUCCAGAGGAAGGGCUUGCACCCUUCCUCAAAGGCGGCAGUCCCUACCCGGGUCUCGAAUGUUCUGGAAUCAUCGAAGCUGUUGGAAAAGCCGUCGUUCGAUGGAAGGUUGGCGAUCAGGUAUUUCAAUUGCCUAAUAUUUUGAUUUCGUUUCUGUUCCUCUGUUUUUCUCGGCUAUCAAACACUAGGAACGUGUAAAUAAGGAGGUUAGUUGAUUGCGAAAACGGGAAUUUUUUGUUCGUGUCUGUGUUAAGGAGUCUUUGUUGAGAAUUUUGGGGAAAUUUAUGAUAGGUUAAAUUAUUGAGCUUAUUGGUUUUCAAAUUUAUGGUUGUAAGAAAAUUGGUCAGUGUAAGGUUAUGGGUUCAUUACCAAUUUGCUUAGUGAAAAUUUUUCCACAUAUUGUGGACCGGUUUGGUAGCAGAAAUAAGAACUGUGUUUUGUUUUUCAAAACGGAAAUGGAUGCAGAAAACAUGUUUGGUAGCCUACUUUCAGAACUUGUUUCCGAAAAUAUUUCCUGAAAAUGAAUUAUUUCAGAACUUGUUUUUAAAAAAUUCAAACACUUUAUCAAUUUAAAAGGUUCUGAAAUGGACAUGUUCAUGGUCUUCAUUUUUUAAAAUUAAAGCUUUUAUGAAAAAACCAUUUUCCCUUCUACUAAACAAACAGGCUCUAUAUUGUAACAGAUCGAUUGGCCAUUUCCUUUGUCAUGUUUUGUGAAUCAUGGCAACACUGGAAUCCACUCCAUUACCAUCUGUUAGUGAUUAGAAGACAAAGCACCAAUUUUAAUGAUAUCCUUUAUGUGAUUUUGCUUCCUCCUGAGUACAAGUUCAUAAUAUACAUGGUACAUGGUGAAUCUGUAUGACAGUUCAUGGUAUACAGGUGUGUGCUCUUCUUUCUGGUGGAGGGCAUGCUGAAAAAGUGGCUGUUCCAGCUGGGCAAGUUCUCCCUGUCCUAUCUGGUGUUUCUCUGAAGGAUGCUGCUGAGGUUGCAUGUACUGUUUGGUCAACUGUUUUAAUGAUGAGCCGACUGUCUGCAGGAGAAACAUUCCUGGUGAAUUUUUUGUCUUUUUUAUUUUCUGAUGCCUGAUAUAUUUACCAGCACAAAUUUACCCUGUUGCUGUUUAAUGUGUGUGCAUCAAUAUUGGAUUAGGGAGGUAGAAGAGCCAUGGUUCUAAUUAAAUCAUUACAUCAUCAUAUUCUUAUUUAGAUACAUUGUAUCCCACAAUUUCAUUGCAUCCAAGGCUAUGUUGUUUUUUAUUGCACGGUUUGUCAUGGUAAUUUCUCAACCCUUCUCUGGAAAAUUAUGUUGGAUGGCUGCUAUUAAUUACCCCAAAAGAAGAAAUUUUAUGUUGAAGUAAGAUGAGUAGCACAAAGAGUUACUUGUGGUUGAUCCUAUCAUCAAAUGGGCGAUUGAUGCACAAUCCAAAUGGUAAAUUUUUUUCCCCCUUUAUCCAGAUGGAAUUUUUAUGCAUGGUUGAAUAGUGAAAUGAGAGGACUGAUAAUAUUUCAGGUUCAUGGGGGUUCAAUUGGAAUUGGUACCAUCUAUUCAAAUAGCGAAAUACCGAGGAGCAAGGGUAUUUGUUACAGCAGGUUUGCCAUCACUGUUCUACCUCAUCUCACAGAAUGCUUAUCUCAUGGCACCAAUUCCUUUUCUUCACAUGUUUUCAACCAUUUUUUCCACCCAGGAACGAGGAAAAAUUAGCUAUUUGUAAGGAUCAUUGAGCAGAUGUGUGCAUCAAUUACAAGACUGAAAACUUUGUUGCAUGGGUGAAGGAGGAAACAGGAGGGAAAGGUAUAUUCUAUUGUAUCUUAACGAUAAUUUCAAUUGAAGGUGGAAUUGCUUUUUAUUUUUUAGUGCACCAAAUCCACUAGUCUGGAAUGUUUGAAAAGAUAAAUAGUCAUCUUCCACUUGAUUCCGAUUGUGAAGAUCUAACCCCAAAAAUGUUGAAUGACAGGUGUUGAUGUUAUACUGGAUAAUAUUGGAGGGGCCUACUUUUGGGGAGACAUCAAUGGUUUAAAUGUUGAUGGAAGGCUUUUUAUUAUUGGUUUUCAGGGUGGAACAGUGGUACAAGUAAAUCUUUCAGGUUUACUUGCAAGGCGCCUUACAGUGCAAGGUACUGCUUUCUCUGUAGAAGAUUUUUCUGUAGUUUUGGAGUUGAAUCAAUUUGAUUAAUCUCAUCCAAGUUCAGAACUGAGGUGGAUUCUGGCAAGCCAAGGAAAAACCAAAUUACCAUAAAUUCUUUUUUUUUUUUCUGGAUCGUUUUACUUCUUGGAAAUCCUGUUUCUCGAUCUGUUAAUCACAUGGUUUGUUUUUCUUUAUUGUCCCUCUUUCUUUUCUUGUUGGUACCAAAUCCCUAAGAUGUGGAAGCCAAGUGAGCACUUUCUAUCUUUUCUUGUUUCAAUCUCUCAUCCUCUUGUGCACAUUGAGCAAUAAGCUCAUUCAAAGUCCAUUUUUCCUUUUGUGUGUUGUAACUGAUUUUGAAUGGACUGAAUUGUGUAGGCAGAGAGAUCAAGACCAAGUGCACGAGUAUGUCUUCCGAAAACUCUAACUUUAGUGCCUUUAGUCUAGUCACAAGAUUAGACAUUUCCAUAAUAUACUCCCUUAUAUUCUCUUUCCCUUUAUACCGCAUAGAGACAAGCUUACUAAGAAUAGUGUUUGUCUCAACCUUUUCAUUUGCAGCGAUCAAUUUGCUAUCUGGUCUAAGAAUGCCUUGGCUCGAGUUUUCUCAGGUAUUGCACCCCUUAUAACUUUUGGAAUUGAGUGCUUCGUUAUUAUUAGACUCAUGCGAUUGGAUCGCUCCCAUUUUUCCAUAGUAGACCUUUGCUCAGCAGUGCUGGCACUAGUAAGAUCUGGAGGGCGAUCCUCUCUUAAUGCAUAGUCUAAAUCCAUGCACCCGAGCACAAUUAUAGCGUGUUCCUUCCAUUUCUUGAAGUUUGUGCCAUUAAGGGCAGGAAUGUUAUUGACAUUUGCAGAUAUAGAAUAUGUUGAAUUCAUAAUAAUAAAGCUCACAAUCAGCCACAUAAACAUCAUACAUACAUGAAAAAUAACAUCAUACAAGAUACCUAGUACAAACAUUAAUAUUCUGUCUUUUGACAAUAAAUAUUAACUUGUAAUUGGUAUCCUUAUACAAAAUUAAUUCAUAAAUAUUGACAAUAAAACCAAAAACAAUGUGCCUCUCUUUGGACUAACAUAUUGAAUGCAAGAUAAACUUUAUAUGUCACAUAUUUAUGACUACUUUAUUUAUUAUUAUAUUAAAAUAAUCUUUCUUUGGGUCGCUUAUUUUAAAUAAUAAUAAUAACAUGUUUAGAUAUUAUAAAAUAAAUAAAUUAUAUAAUAUAAGUUACUUUGGCAACUAACAUACAUAAUUCAUUUAUUUUUUGUUGUUUCCUUCCUCUUGGAUCUUUUGUUUGUGUUUUAAAAAAAAAAAUGUUUCAGUGAAAAUGGGAAAUGCAACCAGGCUCUAAUACCAUUUUGUGGGACGUUCAUUCUCCAUUAUCAUCGAACACAUGCAGGAUAUAUUUAUAUAUAUCUAUCAAUUCAUUCAAAAUAUGCCGAUGGGAAGCCAGAGAGAACAAGUUCUAUUUUUAUUUUGAAAACAUUGUUAUCCUUAAAGAACAAACACUAUUAUUUGGAUUUAUACUCUCCUGCCUUAGGGACCAUACCCUUUGGCUAUUAGGCCUCACGAGUCUUAGGCCCAUCAUCUAAGGCUCGUGAUGGCACUGGGCUCUACAUAUAAGGUGGCCCAUACUCUGGAACGAAUAUAAAUCAUAUGUAUAUAUAUGGAUAGCUAAAUCCUGAAUAAUGGUUAAUAUGAUGUCGGUUCACAUUUAUUAUAUCAUAUAGACUUCCCAUCUGAAGAAAAUCGACAACAAGUAGCUUUGCCAUUCUUAGUUCGUAUACAACCAACCUUAGCAAGGGUUGAACCCUUUUAUGCUUAGUUGUGCCAUACAGAUCCUUACCACCGCCUACAACAUGUAAUUGAAAUGAUUCGAUAAUAUCAUCUAGUGAACCAAUACCUCCAAAUGAGAGACCAUUGCCUCAGUAACUAAGACUCACGACUGAGAAUUGCGUGAACCCCUUUGCUUGGGUUGGAGCUUGACUGAUGCACAAAAUAUUCAUAGGCCUCUUCCCAUAACAGGCACCUUGUGUUUGCAACAUAAUUGAACAUGUAUUGAAGUGAGUUUUUUUGCAUCUUUUUGUAAGAAAAUUCUAAACAACAAAGAUUGCUUAGUGUGCCUGACUCCUCAAGGAAUCAAGGUUCAUUCCUGUAGGGCCAGUUUUUUCACAGUCGAACUAGAUAACAUGGAGAGUAUGUUGCAAUGCUUCAACGGGGUAUUUCUUAGGAAAAUCCACCUGAAGCUGGUACAAUUCGUUGGCGUACUGAGUUCCUAAAGCUCUAUUGACUUCAAUCACCCAUCUCUGUAGAUUAUCGGUGACUUUAUGCUCGGAUCCUGUAGGAGGAUUGACUUGACAUUCCACUAGUUUUUUCUGGAAGGCGAUUUUGUUUAACACCUUGUGAGAAGAGGCAGGGGAACUGGUCAUUGUUUCUUCGAGAAGAUCAGUGGCCGAGGAUGGGUUUGGACCAGAAUUGCUAUAUGGGUUUUCUUUGGGUGAACCAAUUAGUGAAAUAGGUGGCUAUAUAGCAACUAAAGGGUGGUCAUACUAACGAGGAGCUAUUAUUUCAUGCAUGUGGAGAGGAAAUGACUAGCUUCUUCAAGGAUAUAUGAUUAUUCAUCUCUAGCUUACGUUGACUAUCUCCUAACAAAUUUCUGCUUUGAAGCUCCCUUAGUUUCACUACAGCUAAUUGGCCAACUUGGUUUCAUCAUGUUUCCUACAACCUCUAAGCAAAGCAUGCCAGAUCACCGAAUCAGGUUCUAUUCGCAUUUUGUCCAUAAACUCCUUUGCCUAUUGACAAUAGACUGCCCCUCAAAAUUUGAUGAGAUAACAUCAACGCUGACAUGUUGGCCAUCCCCAUAAGCAUCUUUAUAGAGAUUGAUUCUAUGUUUAGAUAUUUCUCUCUCCUCAAGUGAGUUCAACUUUUCUGUAGCAUCCUUCUCCUUCUCUACUAAUAGUCUUAGUUGAACAUCCAACCUAUGUUCCCAAAGUGCCAGCAUCUCAUAUCUGAUGACAAGCCAACAACCUUGCCCUUGCUGAGACCCAAAUAAGUAUCCAGAACCAUCAACAUCAACCCUUUCAUAGGCCUUUGUAUUUGAAGGUCGGAUUGGGAUUGCUUUGAAUGCACUGGCACUACAAUACACAAUUGUUUCUUCUCCGAUAAAAACACCACAAAGAGGUGAGGGGACUGGUAUUAGCAAAGAAGUGUUGUUAUCUAUAUUGUUCUAAGCCCGAUUACCCUCAACAAAAUCCUCAUCCUCAUCUGUACUCUUCCAUUACAUCCCUAGGCUUUUCAAUGUGAUCCACAUGGCUUACAGGAAUCCAGAAAUACUGAUCUGUAUAAAAGUUGCUCUUAUGGGGCUCUCCUAGAAAACAUCCCAAUCAAGAUGAUCAACCUAGCUUAGAUGCUCAGCACCCCAAACUUACCAGAAAUAGAGGAAUAAAAAGCAAGGAUAGGAGCCAAAGUAAAAACUAAGGGAAGAGCAAAUAGGAAAUCAAGCAAAACAUGAAUGUACAGAGCCUCAUUUCAGGUGACAUCUUUGGGCUAAUAAUAGGUGGAAUUAACAAAGUAGAUAAGCAUGAUUGUUAUAAAUAUCAAGUUCAAGGAUGAAGUCGUGCAUCAGCUACUUAUAGGGGGAGUCAAGGAAACCAAGAUAAGAUCAAAGAGAGCAUGUAUGCAAAUAAACAGAUACGACAAAAUAGACCAAACAACUCGUGAAUAUCCUCCUACAAAAAACUACUACACGUGGCAAAAAGUGAUGAAACAAAAAGAGUUGGGUCCGCAUAUACAUAUCCUAUUCUAUCCUAUUCCUUCAAAUCCAAAGCAACCUGUAUUUUCAAUGGGAUUUGUUGUGAUGAAUUUUACUGGAUUGUAACAUGUAAAUAUGUUAAAAGAGGCUUGGGACAUUCCUAUAUAGUAACGCAUAAAGGUACUUCCAUUGUGAAGUUGUCAAAAUUGCAAAUUUAAAUUACAAAAUUUGAAAACAUAGAGAUGAAAGAUGAUGAAACCUUCUUUGAAAUUUUAUAUUGAACUCAUUAAUAUUAUUAAUUUUCAUUUCAGUCUAGGGGAAAGAAUUCUUUACUCUAAAGUGGUCACAAAAAUAUUAAAAUUCCUUGUCGAGAGAUUUAGACCUAAAGUGAUCAAUAUAGAAGAAAGUAAAAAUAUUCUAAGUGUAGGUAAACUUGUAGACUCAAAUGACUCUACCUUCUCAUAAAAAAUCCUCAAUUUUAUAAAUUAUAUUGAUUUCUUCAUUUGAUACAAAAUUUGAAUAAAGAUUUUUCAAAUGACAACACAAGGAAAGGGAAAAAAAAAUUCUCUCCAAAUCAUAUUAUUUAAUCACUUAAAUUAUUUAAAAAUAAAAAUGUUUACUGCUAACAUUAUUUAGGUUCAUCUUUCUUUUGAUGGAGGUUAAAAUUCAUAAUUUUGAGGAAAAAGAUGAGGAUUCUCAUUUUUUUUCCAUAUAUGAAUGGGAUUCUCAUUGUGUAUAUGUGGGUUACUAAAUGGCAAAUUUGGGGGCCACCAGAGUCUGCAAUAUGAGGGAAAAAUGAAGUUGAGUUUGUCACCAAGAAUAGACAUGGUUCCUACAAAGGUGGCAUCUUUAAUUUCAUGUUUGGAUUGGACUUGUCAUGUAACAACUUAACAAGUGAAAUCCCUCAUGAACUUGGAAUGUUAAGUUUGAUUCAUGCAUUGAACUUGUCUCGUAAUCAACUAAAAGGCUCCAUUUCAAAGAGUUUUUGCAAUCUUUCUCAAAUAGAGAGCUUAGACCUUUUUAAUAAUAAACUAAGUGGAGAAAUUCCUCCAAAAUUGGUUAGACUAAACUUUUUAGCAGUGUUCAAUGUGACUCACAAUAGCAUCUUCGGAAGAGUUUUAGAUAUGAAUACAUAAUUUGCAAAAUUUGAUGAAAGUAACUAUGAAGCUAAUCCUUUCCUUUGUGGACCACCAUUAAAGAGAAAAUGUAGCAUAAAUGUUGUUGAACCACCUUACCAACCAUUAGAGUCUUCGGAAGAAAGUGAUGCAAAAUGGUAUAAUAUCAAUCUUGUUAUUUUCUUUGCAAAUUUUACUACAUCAUAUAUCAUGAUAUUAUUAGGAAUUUCAACCAUUCUUUACAUUAACCCUUAUUGGUGUCAAAGAUGGUUCAAUUUUAUCGAGAAAUAUAUAUACUUUUGCUAUUAUUUUGUUUCCUAUACUCUUUCCAAGUUAUUAACAUAUUUUGAAUAAUUAGAGAUUUUUGUUUUCAAUAAUAUUUACAUAAUUAACUACUAUUGGCUUCCAUGACAUGGAAAGAAAUGCGAUGAAGGCAACAACCACUUUUUUUUCUCCUCUACUAGUGCAUGAUUGAUAUGAGUUAAAACUUGCACCCUUAUCUUUGCUUAAAUUUUCUCAGCUUUUGUUUCAAUUCUUAAUUAUCAUUUCUUUUAUGUAUUGUUUAAUACAAUAUCCUAAACACAUUGCUUUGAAGGUUACUUAUUUAUUAAGCAUGAUAUUGAUUUUCAUAAAAACAAAUUCAAGUUUUUUAGGAAUUUUUAGAAUUAUUAUAAUUUGGAGUUCACAUUAGAGGAAAAAAGGAAAGAAAAGAAUAGAUGAUUAAAAAAACAAUUUUAGUAAGUAUAAUUUGUCAUCUUCGGUAUAACAAAUGGGAAUUCCAAAAUAAUAUUUCAAUUUGUUAGUCUAUUCCUUAUAGUAUUAAUUGAUAUAUCAAAUAGGAAGUCACGUUUUGAUUUUUUAUUAGCUUGAAUUGCAUGUCACAUAUAUUUUAAAAUCAAGCAUACAUCAGCCGGGAAGUUCUUGUAACAUGCAUGAACAUGAUAUGAUGAAUUGAAUAAUUUUCUUAAUAUAUGUGUAUAUACUACACAUUAUUAAAUCAUAUAUGUAUAUUUAUAGUCGUAUAAUAUAUUUAUAUAAGUAACAAUAAAUUAUAUUGUAUAAGGUAUCGGUAGGAGUUUUCAAUUCCCUCAUACAAUAAUAUCUAUCAAUAAUUGGAUUGGACACCUUGCUGGCCAUGAGAAUGGACUUGACAUUAACACAUAGCCUUGAGUGGUGUUGAUAUUAUUACUUUGAACCAGAACUGCAGUCAUCUCAAAAACUAUAUUAUAUAGAAAAGCAAAAUAAAAACAUUAGUUAAAACAAAUGUCAAGAUCCUUGAAAUCACGUUUCAAUAUGUUAAAUUACCAUUUUUUUAAAUAAAUAUUUUAUAGGUUGUGUGAAUAAAUAUAAUUGCUAUGAAGGUUUCAAUUUAAUUUUACUAGCAAAUCCAUAAUAGGUGAAAAGACAAAACUACCAUUUUUGUUUUUUUUUCUUUAUUUACCUUUUUUCUCUCGUAACCUUACUCCUUUCACCUUUUUGUUUUUUCCUUUUUCUCAACUAACUAUUUUUUUCUUGUAAUUGUUAUUAUCAUUUUUUAUUAUAAAUAUUAUAACCUUAUAUUAUAAAUUUUUAAUUAUAUUUAAACUAACUAAUGUUGUGGUUUUAAUUGACAUGGAAAAGAAUGUGGUUAUACAUGUGAUUGUCGCCUUUUUUUUUUUCCAAUUAGUUAACUAUUGAUACAAGUUAAAAGUAAAAAUUGCAAUAUUAUCUUUAUGUCAAUUUCACCGAUCUUUUGUUUUUAUUUUCAUGUAUCAUUCCUUUUUUGGUUAUUUAAUUAAAAGGAUUAAAAAAAAAAAAUCACAUAUUCACAAGAAUAACCUUCAUAUUUUAAAAACAUAAAUUUUUAUAAAAAUACCCUCCAACUAUAAUUUUUAUAUGUCCCUAUUUCAAAUUCAAACACUUCUUUUAAUAAUAAUAAUAAUAAAAAAGGGCAAAAAUGUCAAACUGGGAUUAUAUUUAUAAUUUUCAAUAAUUAGAGGUUGUUUUUCCAAAGUAAAAAUUAUUUUGUUCCUUUGGCACAAAUAUUUCUUUCUUUUUUGUAUUUUUUUAUUCAAAAUAUUAAACACAUUACCCUCAAGGUUACUAUUUAUUAUGAAUGGUGUUUACUUUACAUUACGACAAAUUCAAAUUUUUUAGAAUUUUUUAAUGUUAAAAUAAUUUGGAGCUUAAUAGGGAAAAAAAGAAUAAAUAAUUAGAAAAGCAAUUCAAAAAAAUAAAAUUUAUCCUCUUAAAUUGGUUUUGUGUAAUACUAUAGAAGCCAUUUCUUGAGUUUGAUAUGGUAGAAUUUGGAUUCAUAUUUAUUUUAAAAUCAAGAAAUUCAAGUGUUGGUAGCAUCAAUAGAAUCUUAAAAAAUUUGCAAAAAAAUAUUUAGGUAGAUCACAUUUAAAUAUAACUAAUAGAAUAAAAAAUUAGUAUUAUUAGGAAGACAUGAUCAAUUAAAUCUUUUUUCUUAUCUAUGACACCGACUUUAUUUUUUUACAUAGUCAAUAUAAUUUAUUACAACUUAUAUGUCAUUAAAUUAUACAUGUUUAUAUUAAAUAUAAUAUAAGAUCAUUAAUGGAAUAAUUAUGCAAGUAAUAUAAAUUGUAUAUAAUAUAAAAAAUUUAAAGUCCAUCAAACUAAUGGAAUCUAUUAUAAUAAGUAGACUAGACACCAUGUUGGCCCGAGUUGGAGGCCUAGGCCAGAUUUUAAAGGCUGGGCUUUGAGUUGCCCGUGGGCCUGAGCCAAGGCCUUCUCUUGGUAUCAUCAUUUUGAAGAAAUAAAUUGCUGAUACAGAGAAAAAAACUAUACUAAAUAGAAAAAUAAAUAAAAGCAUUGACUAAAAUGAAGGCCAAGGUCCUUGAAAAAUAAUCUUAAAAUUGUUGCAUAUAUAAUUUCAAUAAUGCAUAAAUAAUUGCAAUAUAUAUGAUGUGAUAAAGAAUUUGGAAUUAAAAGAAGAUUGAUCUAUUUUAAAUGUGGUUGGAAUAUUUCUAAAUUUGUGAUGGGAAGUUAGACAGCCAAUUAGGGAUCCAUAUUAUUUAUUUUCAAUGAUAUGAAUUUAUUUACUUUUAUUAAUAUUCUUAAUGCAACAAUAUAAAAUAUGUCAAUUUUCUAAAAUUAAAAAAGUAAUUGUAAAAGAAAAUUUUUAAUUAUUUUUAUGAAAUUGAGUUUAUUAUAGCAUUUUUCUUUACAUAAAUUUCUUUUUUAUUUUUAUUUUUUUAAAAAUGAGAUAUGAAAAAAAAAGAUCAAUAUUAGUAAAAGUAAAACCCAAUAUAUAAAAAAUAUGAAUAAAUGUUUAUGAAAUAAGAUUUAAAAGUGAGAAGGUAAUAAUUUUUUUCUCUUUUAAUUCCUAUUCAAUUCAUUACAAAAAAUAUUUUUGGUUUUUAUGCUAAAAUUUAUUGUUUAUUAAAAAAUUCUAGUAUAUCUAGCUAUCAUAGAAGAGCUCCAAAAUUUUAUUGUUUAAGAGAAUAUGUGUUGCCACUUUAAAAGAUUUAUAUGCAAAAGGGAUUGAUAUUUUUUUCCUUUGGAUAUGUUUAGUUCCCGGAAAAUUUGAGGGAAAAUGUGAGGGAAGAAAAAUAGAGAAGAAAAGUAUAACGAAAUAAAAAGUGAAGGAAAAUGAAAAAUAGAUUUAAAGUUAACAAAUUAUUUUCAUUGGUUUUUUCAAACUUAUUUUACUUAUUUUAUUCUAUUAAAUAAAGAUUAACUAAUUUUAAUUAUAUUUGGUUUGAUUUUUAUUAUUUUUCAAAGCAAAACCAAAUAUGAAAAAAAAAACAUUUUUUUUUUUUGUUAUUUUUUUCUUUCCUUAUUACUUUUUAGGACUCAAACAUAGCUUUUAGAUUUGGAGCAUGGAAAGAUAAGAGUAUUGAAUAAUGGUUCUAUAUAUGCCCAUGCCCAUGCCCAUGAUACCAUUGAAAAAAAUGGAGAGAGGGUGAAACCUUUACUAGAUGAUAAAUUAUUCUCUUCAAUGGAAAUCAAAUAUAAUUAUUUUUAUCUUGUAUUAAUUGAAUGUUAUACUCCAUAAACUCAAAAUUAAAAUAAAUAAAAAAUUUAAAAACUAGGACAAUCCCAUUUUUUUUCAAUUUCUUAAAAAGAAAUUAAAUUAUAUUUAUUUAUAUCUAUUUUCAUCCCUACCCAACAAAAUAAAAAAAAAUUAACAAGGUGGGACAUGUAUGAGAAAUUCUCACACUAACUCUCACUAGUUUAUUUUUUUUUAAAAAAAAAAAUAAAAUCAAUUUCUUUUAAAAAAAUUAAACUACAUAAAAAAUAAACAAAUUUUACAAUUUUUUUUAAGAAAAGUAAAUUUCUUAUUUUAUAUAUGUUAAAAAUAAAUAUAAUCUUUUAUUUUUUAUAUAUAUAAUCGGGUAAGGUAGAGUGGGACAAAGAAAUAAUCCCCUUCGAUUCCAAUCCGAAUUUUUAAAAUAUAAAAUAAAAAUCUUAAACUCAUCCCUAAUCCAUUUAUUUUUAAUCCUAAACUUGUCUUAUUAAGAAUAAGGCAAAGUGAGUACAUGAAAACACUUCUUUUAUCAUCAUCUCUACAAGUUCUAAUGUUUAGAUUGCAAUCCAUAUCAAAGAUUUAUAAAGAAAGAACAACAAUGAAUUUCAUAAACAUUUGAAAGCAUAAACAAAGUUUUAAAUAAUAUUGCUUGAGGUGCAAAUAUUAUUUGGCGCACAUGUUGAGGGACUUCAACUGGUGUAGUCUAGGUUUUUUACACUAGUAAGUAAUCUUGAAUAUCUAGAGUAACUUGAUCAAAAUCUCUUUAAUUUUAUUUUCUUUGAUGGUUGUAUGAUGAAUUAGAAUGCUUAUAUAACAUGAUUAAAAAUUUUAAGAAAAAAAAACUAAGAAGAAAGAAAGAAGCAUCGAUCUUCCAAAUAUUGCUUCCACUUUAAUAUCUAGUAGGCUCUAAGAAAAGAACUUUAUUCAUGAAUCAUAACCCAAGUCGAAAAUAAAUUGAACCCAUUUUCUAAGUUAAAUUUUGAAUUUUUUACUAGUGAAUGCAAAUUGGGAAAAUGUAUAUAAAUAUAAUCAAACUAGAAUAGUAGAUUAGGUUUGUAGGUGGAGUUUGUUUGAAUUGUUGGAACUUCCAAGUCGUUGUGGGUCUAGUGGUCCCAUAGCUCUCUAUUAAUUUCCACCAUCAAUUUUUUGCAAUAAAGUCAAGUCAUUCCUAACCCUUAUAUUAAGUUGGCCUUAAAAGUCAAGUCAUUGAUCAUAGUUACAUUCAUGAAUCACAACCCAAGUCGAAAAUAAAUUAAACCCAUUUUUCAAGUUCAACUUUGAAUUUUUUAGUAGUAAAUGCAAAUUGGGAAAACAUAUAUAAAUAUAAUUAAACUAAAAUAGUAGAUUAGGUUUGUAGGUGGAGUCUGCUUGAAUUAUUGAAACUUCCAAGUCAUCGUGGGCCCAAUGGUCCCAUAGCUCUCUAUUAAUUUCCACCAUCAAUUUUUUGCAAUAAAGUCAAGUCAUUCUAACCCCUAUAUUAACUUGGCCUUAAAAGUCCAAUCAUUGAUAGCUAAAUCCCAACCCAAGUCAAAAAUAAAUUGAACCCAUUUUCUAAGUUCAACUUUGAAUUUUUUUUAAUUGGAAAAAUGUAUAUAAAUAGAAUUAAACUAGAAUAGUAGAUUAGGUUUGUAGGUGGAGUUUGCUUGAAUUUGUGAAACUUCCAAGUCGUCGUGGGUCUAGUGGUCCCAUAGCUCUCUAUUAAUUUCCACCAUCAAUUUUCUGCAAUAAAGUCAAGUCAUUCCUAACCCCUAUAUUAAGUUGGCCUUAAAAGUCAAGUCAUUGAUCAUAGUUACAUUCAUGAAUCACAACCCAAGUCGAAAAUAAAUUAAACCCAUUUUUCAAGUUCAACUUUGAAUUUUUUACUAGUGAAUGCAAAUUGGGAAAACAUAUAUAAAUAUAAUUAAACUAAAAUAUUAGAUUAGGUUUGUAGGUGGAGUCUACUUGAAUUAUUGAAACUUCCAAGUCAUCGUGGGCCCGGUGGUCCCAUAGCUCUUUAUUAAUUUCCACCAUCAAUUUUUUUGCAAUAAAGUCAAGUCAUUCUAACCCUUAUAUUAAUUUGGCCUUAAAAGUCCAAUCAUUGAUAGCUAAAUCCCAACCCAAGUCAAAAAUAAAUUGAACCCAUUUUCUAAGUUCGACUUUGAAUUUUUUUUAAUUGGAAAAAUGUAUAUAAAUAGAAUUAAACUAGAAUAUUAGAUUAGGUUUGUAGGUGGAGUCUACUUGAAUUUGUGAAACUUCCAAGUCGUUGUGGGUCUAGUGGUCCCAUAGUUCUCUAUUAAUUUCCACCAUCAAUUUUCUGCAAUAAAGUCAAGUCAUUCCUAACCCAUAUAUUAAUUUGGCCUUAAAAGUCCAGUCAUUGAUAGCUACGUUCAUGAAUCCCAACUCAAGUCAAAAAUAAAUUGAACCCAUUUUCUAAGUUCAACUUUGAAUUCUUUUAAUUGGGAAAAUGUAUAUAAAUACAAUUAAACUAGAAUAGUAGAUUAGGUUUGUAGGUGGAGUCUGCUUGAAUUUGUGAAACUUCCAAGUCGUCAUGGGUCUAGUGGUCCCAUAGCUCUUUAUUAAUUUUCACCAUCAAUUUUCUGCAAUAAAGUCAAGUCAUUCCUAAACCAUAUAUUAAUUUGGCCUUAAAAGUCAAGUCAUUGAUAGUUACGUUCAUGAAUCACAACCCAAGUCUAAAAUAAAUUGAACCCAUUUUCCAAGUUCAACUUUGAUUUUUUUACUAGUGAAUGCAAAUUGGGAAAACAUAUAUAAAUAUAAUUAAACUAGUAUAGUAUAUUAGGUUUGUAGGUGGAGUAAGCUUGAAUUGUUGAAACUUUCAAGUCGUCGUGGGUCUAAGGGUCUUAUAGCUCUCUAUUAAUUUCCAUCGUCAAUUUUUAUGAAUUAAGAUUUAAAAGUGAGAAGGGAAUAAAUUUUUUCUUUUUCAAUUCAUUACAAAAAAUAUUUUUGGUUUUUAUGCUAAAAUUUAUUGUUUAUUCAAAAAAUUAAAGUAUAAAAAUAUAAAAAAAAAUAUAUAUCUUGAUAUUAUAGAAGAGCUCCAAAAUUUUUGUGUUUAAGAGAAUAUGUGUUGCCACUUUAGAAGAUUUAUAUACAAAAAGGAUUGAUGUUUCUCCUUUGACUAUGUUUGGUUGCCAAAAAUUUGAGGGAAAGAAAAUAAAAAAAAAUAGUAAAAAAGAAAAAAUGAAGGAAAAUAAAAAAUAGUUUUCAAGUUAAUAAAUUAUUUUUAUAUGUUUUUUCAAACUUAUUUUACUUAUUUUCUUUCAUUAUAUAAAGAUUAAAUAAUUUUAAAAUGCAUAAUUUCUAACUAAUUUUAAUUAUAUUUAAUUUUUCUUUUAUAUUUUUUAGACGGGAUCCGACACAUGAAAAAAUCCUUUUUUUUAGCAUCUUUUUUUCUUUUCUUAUUACUUUCCAAUAACCAAAUAUAACCUUUAGAUUUAGCCUUUAGACUUGGAGUAUGGAAGGAUACUGAGUAUUGAAAGAAGGUUUUGUAUAUGGCCAUGAUACCAUAGAAAAAAUGGGCGAGAGAGAAAAAACCUUUAUUAAAUGAUAAAUUAUUUUACUACUUACUACAUAAAUAGAUAUUCAUGGAGUGCAUUCUCUAAAAAGCUCCAGUCUCAUGAAAAUGGAAAGAUGGACCGGCCAGUGGACCGGUUCGAGUUUGGAUUUAUGGGCUGCCUCAGCCUAACACGCAUGAUAGGCUGUUGCAGGUGAAGAACUAAUUAAUUUAAAGCCUUCUUCUAUCCUCUCCUAUUCCUCUUUCACUCCAAAUUUUCCACAUGAUAAUGACAAUUCUUUUGUUAAAUGGUAAAAAAAAAAAUUUAACAAUUAAUUUAAAAUCAUUUAUAAAAUCAUGAACUUUGGCAUCCUAAUUAAUGCAAUUUAAACUUUUUUUGUUUACAAAUGAAAUAAGAGGCAACAUAUAAACCCAAAAGUUAAUUUUCCUACCAUCUCUAUGCACCAUUUUAGCUUUACUCCAAUAUAUUUUCUAUGAUUAAUUAUUUUCAUUCAAACAAUAAUAUCAAAAUAUUUUAAAAUUAGACAUAUCAUAAUCAAAUAUCAUUAUAUUAUUAUUGAAUAAUAUUUAAUGUAAUUUAAUAAUCAACGUAUACUUAUAGAAUUUAUAUUUUUUAUUAAUGCAUAUAAUAUUAUUAUCAAAUAUGAUAAAUUAUAUAUAUAUAUUUCUUUAACAAAACAACUUUAAAAUAUCUAUUAUACUUUUAAUUUCAUCUCUAAGAGGUUUUUUUUUUUUUCUUUUUUUUUUUUACAUUUUUAUAAGUUUUGAUCAAUUGUAGGCUAACCAAUAUUUUUUUAUCAAAAUAUCCACCAAUAUAUCUCCGAUAUAUUAGAUAUAUCCGUAACAUCGAAAUACCAAUAUAUCCGCGAUUAUCGAUAUUUUUAUCCUUGAGGGAUAACAACUAAUAUAGUUUUUGCACUUAAUGAUAUUCCUCAACAUUUAGAUUGAUUUGACCAAAAUCUUUUUAAUUUUAUUUUCUUUGAUGGUUAUAUGAUGAAUUAGAAUAGUCAUAUAACAUUAACAGAUUUAAGAAAAAAAGGAUAAAAAAGCUCGUAUUUUUCAAAUAUUGGUUUCAACUUUGAAUAUUUUUAUUGGUAAAUGAAAAUUGUGAAAAACCUACUAAUGCUAAUACUUUUCACCACAUAAUUAAAUAUAAUAAACUAGAAUAGUGAUUCAUUGAUGUCUUAUAAAGACACAUGCCUUCUUUGACUUGUUAGUUGAUUUUUGUAGGUGGAGUCCAUUUCCAUUUGAAUUGUUGAAACUUCCAAGUCCUUGUGGGUCUAGUGGUCUCUCUAAUAAUUCCCACCAUUAAUUUUUUGUGAUGAAGUGCAGUCAUUGAUAGCUACUAUAUCAAUUUGCUAUUAAAAGUCAAGUCAUUGAUAACUAAUAUUCAAUCUUUUUCAAUAUGGAAAUUGGAAUCUCUAGCACUACUCUUCUCAUUGUUCAUUUUUAGGUAAUGUGAGAAUGUGUGAACAUAAAUGUCUUCUAAUCAACCAAUUUUUUUGAAAAAAACAUGUACAAAAUUGCAAAACUUGCAAAAUCAAACUUUCUUGUUGAAUAACCAUAGCUUGAUGGUUUUGAAGAAUCAAAGGAUGAAUCAUAAAAGGGUAUUUGAUAAAAAAUAAAAAUUUAAAAAGUUAAAAGACAACUACUCCCUUAAGUGUAAUAAGUGUAUUUGGUAGCACAAAUUUCCUACCACUUAUUAUUUUUUCCUUUCUUAAAAAAUUAUUUACUCUAUUAAAUAAACUAACCUUGGCUUAGCACUUAUAGCAAAAUAGGUUAAGUAGUUUUUAAAAUUUUAUAAUAUUAGAUUUACAUUUUUAUCCUUCAAAAUUUCAUUAAUGCUAGAUUCUUCUAUAUGCUUAACUAAUAAAUAAUUUUUAGCAUUUUUCUUUUCUUAUAAACAUAAAAAAAUAAAAAUAUUAUUAACUUAUUGGUAUAUUUUAAAAUUUUAAUUAGAUUUAAGCUUUUAUUUGUUUGGAUUACCAAUUAUACAUAUAAAUCCUUUGUUAUUAUUGUUAUUAUUGAAAGAAAGGGGUUGAAUAGGUAGUCCCUCAAUCCCCAAAUUAAAUUCUUUAUUGCCUACUUUUGGUUUAUUCCUUUACAUGAAUUCCUUGGUGAGAGUAAACAUUUCAUUAAUAGAUAAAUAAAAUUGAUUCCAUAUCAUAGGGUAUAAUGUGGAAAAAUCACCAGUCUCAUGUGUUCCUUAGUGGAUCCUUUGGAGCCCUAUCAAAGUUUCAUGAUGAAACCAUUGACUUUUGUUUAACCCAAAUGUGCUUUCAAGACAAAUCUUGAAAGAUUUGAGAGAUGGAGGUUCAAGUCUUUUAUGAACGACCAUGUUCUCUUAGGGUUCAUGAAAUUCACACCUUUUGAUAAAUAAAACUUAUCUAUUUAUACGUCUAAAACCCAGUAUUUAUUUAUUUAAUUAUAGAAAGUUUCUUAGUUUUAAAAACAUUUCAAAAAUCAUUUUUAGAAUCAAAUAAGAAUUUUAGAGAUAAACACAAUAUUAAAAUUUAACAAAAACAAAUUUUCGAAUUAAAAACACAAUAUAAACUAAAUUACAAAAUAUAAAGUAAUUUUUACCCUAAUUUCUUGUUGCAAAACCAAAUGGAACACCUAGAAGGGGAGUGAAUGGGUGAUUUUAAAUUUUUUCAAUAAUUAUUUAUAAGUUAUACCCAAUUCUUUUACCCUGCAAGUUGUUAGGGACUAUCAAUUCUUUCAUUUUGGCAAUUCAAACAAUAUAUCAAAUAAUAAAAAGAUAUAAAUAAUGAGACAUAAAUAUUUUUACGUGGAAAACCCCCCACACUAACCAUGGAGAUAAAAAGCCAUGGAGUCUAAGACCUAUUAAUCUAAAUUCACGGUACGAAAUCAAGUUACACAAAUUUAUUUGACAACUUUACCUUAAAGACUUACUCUACAGUACUGACAACUUGAUUCACAUCCACGACGUAGCAACCCUCGAUUACUCCAAUGGAUCACUUCAAGCUUACUAAAAGGAUGAAGGCCUUCAAACCAAGAUUCAAAAAUCAAUUCCUUGAAUGAGAGAUCAGGAAUGGUGUGCCACUUUAGGCUUUCUCUCUAAGAACUCUAAAAUGAUCUCCUCAAUGAAAACCUUUUAAACAAAAUGAGAUAUUUCUCCACAAUCUCUAACCCUCAAGGGGUUAUAAUGAGAUAUUUAUAAGCAACUAAGUUGAAGAGUUUCGGUUUUGGAAGGUUUCUCAAUUGAAUUUGUGUGAAAAACUCGACAGAAUCAACAUGACCGCUCGAGGCAGCACACUUCCCACUUGAGCGUUUCGGGCACUUGAGCGGUAAGGCUUGCUUGAGUUGUCCUAAGCGCUUGAGCAUUCCAGGCUACUUGAGCAAUCUUGCUCUAUUUCAAAAGUUAAUUUUAAACCAUUUUAAGUUCAAAACAAAAUUGAUUCCCUUUAUACCUCAAAGGAGCCUAACUUGCCACAAACCAAACUUUUUUAGAUAUACUUGUGACUUCCUGGUUGGACGAACAACAACUCUUAAUCUUCAAUGGAGAGCAAGUCACUAUCUAAAAAGAUUUAUAUGGUCAAACAUAAAAAAACAAAAAAAUUGCCAACAUAACAACAAGACUCAAUGUCCAUGCAUGGUCACCUGAAAGGUGACUCCGACCACAAUAUAAUGCAUGUUCUCAUAGAACAUGUGAACAAGAUGGGGAUAGGAAGUCCCCUAGAGAGAAAACAGAGUCUCCUAACCCUACUCUUGAAUGAUGAUAGGGAAGACAGUGUCCUGAAAAGCUUAAAGGUUAAUGGCAUGCUCAGGCUCGACACACCGAUAUGUGAAAGAAGCGUAAUAAUGGUCCCGUGCCACCUGGUAGUGAAAGCGCUCAACCGGAAGUGCAUCUAGGUUAAAAAGACCCUAGAGUGGGAUGCCCUAGACGGUUUCAGUGACCUAGGAAAGGUCACCUCCCUUUGACAUCUAUGACUAGCCAUAUCUAAGGUAUAUAAUAUGAAAAAACAAAAGCUAAAGAAAAUCCAGAGAAAAGCUAAACCACUAAAAAUGUUAAACUCAAUGCGUCGAACAAUACUAUACAAAUGGAAAUGAAAAAUAUGAAGCGAACUGACCUCAGAAGACAAAAGGACAGUAACCCAGAGGGCUCGAAGAGGAAUAGGAAAGAUUGAAAUGAAUAUGGCGUGAUGGAUGACCUUUAUAUAGCUUAUAAGAGUGCUUGAUGCAGAUUAGCACUUGAGCGUCAUGACUAACUUAAAUCAAAUUAUUUAUUAAUAUGGAAAUAUUUUAAAAGUUUCAAAGGAAGUAUUCAAUUUAGAACCUUUUUAGAAUUUUUUUGAAAGAAACAAAAAUAAAGCGUGAAAUAUUAUGUGUUAAAGGUGUUAGAAGACAAUAUUGUCUAAUCCAAAGCCUUACACAUUCCUAAAAAAAAAAAAAAAAAAAAAGGAAAAAGAGAGAUAUUAUAUAAGAUUUUGAUCACAUCUAAUAGAAACUAAUAUUUAGCAACAUAUCACCAAGCACUAUCUUAUCAGAAAGCUCUAACAUGUUGGAAAUUUAUGUAAGGUUCCAUAACAGCUAAAAACUUUUUCUGACGACUCGGUAAUGGACCAUUUGCACUUUAACUACAUUAUUGAAUUUAAAUCAUAUUAGAAUUGUAAUUGACUUCUCUUUUGUGAGACUACAUAUCUUGUAGGAUGGGAUAGGUGAUUCAUUUCAUAUAUGAAAUUUACUUAAUUUAGUAAUGCUUCCAAGUUCAUUAUGAAUCUAAUGGUAUCACAACUCCUUUAAUAUUUGUAAUUUUGUAAUCUUUGUUUCAACUUCUCAAGUCUAGUCAUUUUAUUGGCAUAACUAGUUUGCUUCAAUUAUCUCUCAACUUUAUUAUAAAACUAAGGGAAAGGAUUAUCACGCAUUUUAUAUUAACUUAACCAAACAUCUUUAUAUAUCUUACAUAUAUAUAUUUUUUGUAAAUUUAGGAAAAUUUCAUCCAUUAGCCAUAGUAAGUAAGAAUCAAAUAAGGGAUAUGUAAGCCAAUGGUGAUAUUGAUGGCGUCAAAUCAAUGACAUAGUAGAAAAGUGGAUUGUCUAUUUUCAAACCUUUAUAUUUUCAUCCAAUAGUAAAAAGGUUUAGGCAUCACUUGAAAAGUAGUUCGUUUUUUACCUUGGACUAUGAUUUAUGAAUAAAGUUCUUCUGUUGUAUACCUUUUGUGAUGCCCCAAACCUAAUUUAGGGGUAAAAAAAUAAUUUAGAAAAAAAUAAAUAAAAAGUUAAAUAAAUUUAAUUAAGGUAAAAAUGUAUUUUUGUAUUUAAAAUUCCUAGGUAUCAAUUAUAUAUUUCUUGUCUUCUCUAUUCAAAAAACCCUAUUACACAAAAAUCAAAUAUCAGAGAACAUAGGACAACGCAGGGUUGAAGAUUUGGAGGUUUAGGGUUGAAGAUUAGUUUUCCAGGUAAGAUUCUAACCCUUAAAUUAGUAUUUUAGAUUCGUUAAUUAGUUUGAACACUUUAGAUAUUCUUUGAAAAAUCUGAAUCUACGUUAGGGUUUGUUAAUUUAAUUUUUAAAUAAAAAAGAUUCAAAAUUUAUGAACAUAAGUAGAGUUAUUAUUAAAGAUUGAAAUUUUUUGAAUAUUUGAAUUAAAAAUCUAGAAAAAAAAAGAAGAAAAUAAAUUAUAGCUUUGGAUGUGGAAAAAAGUUAAUAUUAAUAAAUAAAUAAAACUUAUGAGUACGGAGGUAGAAAAAUAUGAGAGUUGAAAGCAAAGAAAAAAAAAAGAGAAUAAGGUUUUGUGGUUGUACGUGUCUCCUUAGUGGAAAAAAGAAAUACAAGGUUGUUUGCAAUAGGAUAUGACAAAGAGAGAGAGAUAAAUGCUUAGAUGUUGAUUUUUGUGGGGAAAAAAAGAUUGGGUAAUGUAGGAGAGAAAUAGGUAGCACUUGUAGAGUUGGUGGGGUUGUUGUAAAAGCUCGUAGGGUAAUUGUUAGGUAGUAGUAGGGUAUGAGAUUAAUUGUUAGGAAACAUUAGGACUUGAAAUAAUAAUAAUUGCUUCUAGUAAAAGUUUUAACUUAGUUUAAGUAUAUAAAAGAAAUAGAUGAUUAGAAUAAGAUUUGGAAGGAAUAUGAAUUCAUAAAAAUUUCGAAAUUUACUAAUUUAGAUUAUUAUUUUUUUGGAAGUUGAAUAUAAUAUAGGUGGUAAUAUUAUUAAUAUAGGAAAUGAUUAAGAUUCUCAAACCUACAAUUUUAGAUAAAUAGUUAAUAGUAAUAGUUGAUUUUUUAUUUUUUUUAUUUUUUAUUUUUUAUGUUAUGUUAAGUGAAUAAUGGAUUCUUUGAUUAAUUCUCUAAGGUUUCUAAGUGCUUCUUUAAGAUAAGGGAUAUUAAUACUGAUUUUGUAAAUGAAAAUAUUUCUUUUUAUAAGUUAUUUUAAAUUAUGAAAAAUUUUAUUUUUAUUUAUGCAUGGAUCAAAUAUAUAUUUUUUCAUGAGAAACAUGUUUGGGCAAUUUCUUUGUUUAUAAAUAAAUAAAUAAAAAAUGAGAACUUUGGAAAUAUAAUGUUUUGUUUUGCAAGUUUAAAAUAAUGAAAUAAAGUUUUUGACUCUGGUUUAUAUGACCUUAGUUAAUGGGUUAUAAUUGUUGACAUUUUCAGCUCUCCAAUCAAUGAUUAUAAUUGUUGAGAUUUUCAACCCUAGCCAACGGGUUAUAAUAGUUGACCUUAUAGCCCUAGUCAACAGAUAUAAUUGUUAACCUUUCGUUUUUCCCAUCUUAAAAAGAACAAAUUUAAGGCUAACCAUUUAUUUGUAAAGUCCCACCUAACUAAGUACCAUUUGUUAUUUAAUAACCAGAGUAAAGAUAUUUUGAAUGUAUUUGAUAUGAAAUUAUUUUGAUAUAAAUAUGAAAAUGUUUGGUUGAAAAGUUCAAAUGUUUAAUGCAUGUUGAAUUCAAAAGUUUUUAUGAAAAUGAUUAUAUGUUAUAUCUCCUAUUUGUAAGUUUGAUCCAUAAAACUGUAUUAAUAUUCCUUAUUGGACUUUGAGCUCAUUCCCCUUUGUUGAGAAUUUUUUUUGGUAUUCUCAGUUUGGGCAAGGAGUGAUGACUGGGUUGGGGAAUUUUCUUUACUAUGAUUUUGGUUCAAUCUUUAUUUUGGACAUUGUAAUUUAAUUCCCAUUUAAAUUAUUUGGGUUUGGAGUUAUUUGGACGAUAACACUUUGAUUGAUGUGUUAGUUUUAAAGUUGAGAAUUGAAAAUUAUAGAAUUUAUUUAUCUUUCUACUUUGAAUAGAAAUUUAGUAAUUGGAGAUCAUCCAGUUACAAGAUGAAUAUUAGAUGAAUAUUUGUGUCGUUUCCACAUUGAGUGUUCAGGCUUAGGGUGUGAAAUGACCGUUAUGCCCUUGGAGUGGGUAUAUUGUUUAUUUGAAUUUAAUGGUCCCCGAACUCCUUAAUUACUCAUAACUUUAUAUCACCUUCUCAAAGUUAAGUUGUUUUACAACUACUAUCUAGCUACUUUUCUCUACUAUGACAACUUUAUUACAUAGUGAUUAAUUGAAAGAAUCUACAUGUCUUAUUUCAUAGGAUAGUUGAUUUUUUUACUCAAUGAAUCUUGCUUUUAUUAUUGAAAAUUUCAAAUCAUUGUAGUCCAACAAUUUACUAUCCUUUGGUAAUUUCAUAUUACAUUUCCAAAGUCUAAUCAUUUAAAAACACUUGUAGUUAAUAUAUUGGCAAUUGCAUUGUGGGAAGUUGUUCACUUGAUUUUAAUGUUGAAACUUUCAAAUUGUUGUAGUCCAACAAUUCCCUAUCCAUUGGUAAUUUCAUAUCACAUUUUCAAAGUAUAAUCAUUUACAAAUACUUGUAUAUAGUAUAUUUGGUGAUUGUAGAGUGGAAAGUUGAUCGUUUUCAUGAAGACCUCUAAAAUAGAAAUUUUUUUCAUUCCAUUUAAUAAAGAAUUUCAUUAAUUGAACAUAUAUGUUUUUUUAACCGGAAAGUAGAGGCCACAUUAUACGAGGCCUUAGGUGACAAUACUAGGUGAGGGUUUUUUUUUUUAAUUUAUUUAUUACUAAAUAUAAAUAAUAUUAUUUAUUGUAUAAUAAAGAUUAUUAUAAUAUAUUUUUUAUAGAUGAAAAAAAUAUUAAUUGAGUUUUAUUUUUUUAAAAUAAUUGUUUUCAAUAAAUAACUUAUUUGUAAAAAGAAAACUAUAAAAUAUAUGCAUUUGAAAAAUAUUUAAUUUUUAUUUGAUUUAGUAUCAAUUAAUAUUUGUAAUAUUUUUUAAUAUUAUAGAAGUUAACAUACUCAAUCAAGAUAUUCAAGAUCAAGAGAAUAUUUAAGAUUGAAUUAAUUUCUUUAUUGUUUAUGUUUUAGUAAAUUUUUAUAUCCAUUACAAAUUUUUUAUUGUUUAUUUUUCAUUCAAUGUUUGCAUUUUUUAAUAGAUAUUAAAACGAUUUUUUUUCUUGUAUGUUAAAAAAAUAUUUCAAUGUCUUUAAAAAUAAAAUAUUGCAGUAAAAUCAAAAUUACAUUGUGAAACUUUAAGCGAAUGUUUUAUACUUAAGAAGUGCCAAUUAAAGUAAGCAUGCAUCUACAAUUGUAAUUUAGAUGUCAUACUGAAACAAUAGUUCUCUUUGACUAUAUCAUAAAAUUUGGUUCGAAUUACUUUAAGUCGUCUUGUAGAUUUUCAAGUUCCAAUGAUAUGCAUCAAGUAUGUGCAACAUACUUGAUAUAACUAAUAUUUUCUUAAGUAAUUGGACACUUUUUUCUAUAAAUUUACUUGAUUAUCAAUGAAUACUUUUAUGUAAGGUAUUGAUAUAAUUCGAUAAAUAUUUUAAAAUAGUAUUAGAAUAGCUUUGCUCUUUCCCAAUUAACAAAUUUACUAAAUUAACUUAUAUAUAUUUGUUUAUUUGAAUUUACUGGUAUUUGACUCAAAUUGUUAUUAUUUUUAAAAUUAUAGGAAAACCAUUAUUUAUAGAGUUUAAUUAUAUUUGGUAAAUUAUCUUUUUAAGUUUGGCUAGGAUUAGGAAACUAUUAAUUUAAGAUUAAUCCAUAAGGCUCUAUAAAUUUGCAGUUUUAUUUAGGAUUUAAAAAAAGAAAGAAAAAGUAAGAAAAAGUGAAGAGAGAUAGGCAAAGAGUGCAUUGGGUUUUAAAUAAAGAAAGGUUGAGAGAGUUUUGAUUACUACUCAAAAAGAACAUAUUUUAGAUAGUAAUUCUCAUGGGUUUCACAUCUUUUGAGUAUUAAUUAUGCCUAAAAAUGCUCAAUUAACAUGUUGUUGCCUUUGCAAGAGUUACUAACAAGUUUUAUAAAGUUUUGGAGUCAUUUCAAGUUAUGAUUUUAAUAAAUUGGUGACGAAAGAGAUGAAUUGAUUUGAAGAAGGCAAAUAAUAUUGAUGAUGAUCCAAAUGCAUAAUGAAAGAAGCAAUAUAAUUAGUUUGAUCGGGAUUUGCUGCUAAUUUGGAGGUAGUUAAGGUGGAGUCAAAAGAAGAAAAUGGAAGAAAUGACAAAGAGGAGCUUAAAAACCAAAUGUUGCAGAUUUGUAUGAUCAUGCAAAAAUUACAUGACUAUGCGAAAUGGAUUAGAGAAGGAAAAUUGACUAUAGUAUAAGGAGGAUGCUUAAGUUGAUUUCGCAUGAACAUGCGAAAAUUUUGCACAAUCAUGCGAAAUGGUCCAGAAAGCUCUCUAAUGUUGUUGUUGCUCCACUAAUUUCACACCACCAUGCGAAAUUGAUCUUUUCAUGCAAAAUGGCUGAAGCUCAUGUGAAAUCAUGAUUUUGAUGCUAAACUCUAGAUUUGUGAAUUUGGAAGGUUUUAGAAGAUCAAUGAGAAGUUGCCAAGUGUCCACUUGACCUUGGUCUAUAAAUAGAAACUUGAAUUUCCCAUGUAAAGAGCUUUGUGAUACUUUUGAUUUUAGAUUUUUCUAGGAACUCUUUCUCUAAAUAGAAUUCUAUAUUUUCUUUAAUUUUCUCUCAUUUUCUCAUUCGCCAAACAUGCCUAGUGAGACCAAAUCUCCAAGUAUGAGUGGCUAAAUCUCGUUUUUCUCAAAGGAAUGAGGAUCUAGAGUCAAGAUCUAUGGUGAAUUAUAGAAAUGAGUUUUAAUCGGAAAUGCAAUUUGAUUCAAUUGAUUGAUUAAUUGAAAUUUGAGGAUUUUUCUCUUCAAAUUAUCCUAAAUGACUAUUACAUUGCAAACUAGGUAGAUUCAUUAAAUUCUUAAAGCUAGAUUUAAUGAGACUGAAUAGUUGCAUUGUAUGAAUCAUUGGAAGAUAAUUUAAGAUGAAUUGAAUAUAUAAUUUAAAUUGAUCUCUUGGAUUAAAUAACCUAAUUUGAAGAGAAAUUAGGUUUAGACUUAAAGGUAAAUCUAAAAUCGAUUUAGAUAAGAAUUUAGGUUUUCAAUCUAACUUGAUGAAAAAUAAAUCUCAACAUCUAUUCACCAUGGAAAUUGUUUUCUAAAAAAUAUUAACUCCGAGAAUUCCUUUUCCUUAUCAAUUUUCUUAUAUUCUACAUUAUAUUGUUCUUUUCGAUUAGAAAUCAUUGUUAUUUUGAUUUUUCAUGAAUUGUCAAAUCAAUUUCACUUGACCAUAAUCAUUUCUUUUCCUCCCAUUUAAGCCUUAAUUAUCGAGAAUAAUCCAUCCCAAUAGAAGACACCUAAGACCACUAUACUACCGUAGCUUUUGCUAAAAAACCUUUUUGAUCGGGCAAGAGUUACCUUAGCAUAGUUGAAUUAGGUUAUAAUUUUUUUAUCCAAUAAACAACAAAAAAAAUCAAUCGAUCAAGUUUGCAUUGUGUAUUCUUGAAUUUUAUUAAUAAAUUUGAUCCCCCUUUUUGAAGCGAUUACACCAAACCAAGUAAAUAUUUUAUAUACUUCAUUUGCUUUAUUUUUUCUAUUAAGUUUAGGUGUUGCAAUUUUCAAGAGUCAUGGUGAGAAGAUUGUGGGAAAAAUUAUUUUAAGGAUGGAGUCGAACAUAAAAUAUGAAAUUGAGUCCUUUGAUGGAAAUAAUAAUUUUAAUAUUUGAUAGAGUAUUAUUAAAGAUGUUUUGAUACAACAAAGACUUCUCAAAGCAUUACAAGGCAAAAAAACUAGAGAGCAUGACAAAUAAAGAAAUGAAAGAAUUAGAAGCAAGAGUUGUAAGUACUAUUUGUUUAAGUCUUAAAAAUGAAAUACAUUGUUUUGAAUGAAAAAAAUAUUCUUUUAGGGGUGUCAAUUGCUCUUUUAGAGACCAAAAAUAUUAAGCAGUCAAGUAGUUCAUCUCAUAUUGGACAAACUGUUAUGAUGAAUUCUAAACCACAUCAUCAUAGGAGUAAAUCGAAAGAAAGUAUCUGAUAGGAGGAUGAUCAUUCCAUUCACACUUAUGGAGGAAUAUGAAGUAUUAUUACUGUGAAAAAAAAAACAUAUCAGGAGAUAUUGUAAAGAAUUGAUGAAGUACCUAGAAGAAAUGAAAAUUUUUAAAUCCCAAGAGACUUCAAAUUUUACUAAUAUUGUUGAUGAAAAUUUUGAAAUAUUGUAGUAAAUUAAAAGUUACAUUAUGGGACUUUUAGUGAGUGUUUUAUGUUGAAGAAAGGCUAAUUAAAGUAAACAUGCAUCUAAAACUAUAAUUUAGAUGUUGUACUCAAAUAGUUGCUCUCCUCGAUUAUAUCAUAAAAUUUGGUUUGAAGUCUAAGUCAUCUAAUAAUUUUCUAAUUCAAAUUGCAUGCAUCAAACAUGUGUGUUAGGAAGUGUUGCAAAUUACUAAUUAAUAUAGAUUCUUUUUUUUUUUAAAGAAUAUUGUAUUGAAUAUUUCUAGGUUGAUAUAUUAUUGUAAUAUUAGACUUUCUUAUAGAAUAAGGAAGGUUGUUGAAAAUAUCCCUAUAAAUAUUCUAGUUCAUAAGGGGAAAAAGUUAUGAGAUGAAGAUGGACCCAUAAAGACUAUACAAGGUGGAUAGAGACGUGAAGAAAAACGAGAGGUACCCGGUGGAGCGAGAGGGCUCGUGGUAGGGUAUAGGUACAAAGAGUGAGAAAACAUGGGAUGUUUUGGGAACCCAAUAAUUGUAUCUGGUUAUGUCCUCUAUAAGUUCUAGUCCUGUCAUCUGCAUUGUUCUCUAUUUUAUAGUGGAAUGAUUCUCUUUUAUCUGUGGACGUGGGCAUGGUUUUCGAACCAUGUUAAAACCUUGUGUACCGUUUGUGUUGAUUUUUUUUUUUAUCUUUAUUUUAUUGAUUAAUGAAGUUUGCAUCAAAGCUUCUGUCAACGUAACAAACUUGUAUCAAAGCUUGGGUUAAAGAUUUCUAGAAGAGUAAAAGAUCAUAGAGCACACAAGAUGAAAACAAAAGGAAUUUUUAGUGAAAAUGGAGUCAAUUGCUCUCUCAUGGUGAUAUGAUAUAAAAAGUUUGUGUCAUGGAAAGUUUGAAGAUUUACUUCAUGGAAUCUGGUCCAAAAUGGAGAUUGUUAAUAAGUAUCCCAAAUUCCUAAUUAGUUUAGAUUUUUUUUUUUUGUAAAGAAUAUUGUAUAGAAUAUUUCUAGGUUAAUAUAUUAUUGUAAUAUUAGACUUCCUUAUAGAAUAAGGAAGGUUGUUGAAAAUAUCUUUAUAAAUAUUCUAGGUCAUGAGGGAAAAAAGUUAUGAGAUGAAAUGGGCCUGUAAAAACUAUAUGAGGUGGAUAGAGAUGUGAGGAAGAACAAGAGGUACUCAAUGGAAUGAAAGGGCUCGUGGUAGGGUAUGGAUACAAAGAGUGGGGAAAUAUGGGAUGUUUUGGGAACCUAAUAGUUGUAUCUGGUUCUGUCAUCUAUAAUGUUCUAGUUAUGUCCUCUAUAAUUGAUUCGUUCCCAAUUGGUGUCUCAGCUGAUUCAUGUCCUCUCCAUGGUCCCUGAUAGUGGUGCCAUUUGAUUCAUGUCCAGCUGGUGUCCCUUGAUUUUGGUCUUCAGGGAGUAAUCAACAAAAUUUAUAACCUAUUACACCAUGUACUAGGAUAGCCUUAGCUAGCAUAGCAUAGUGGCUCUAGGGUCGUUCACUGGGAUGGGUUUUCACUUCACAAUUGAUAUUAAUUCAAAGAUGAAUUGGUGCUUUUUCAUUUCAAGGUUAGCUUUAAAAGAAAACAUAAAGAUGUUUGAAUGAAAAAGGUUUUGUUUUAAACUAACCAAAAAUAAUAACUGAUUUUACUUACAAAGAAAAGUGUUUCUUGGAGUUUAGAUCACUGGGCUCAGAUUCCUUGUACAAAAAGGGAGUUCCGGUCACUUGUUUCUUUUCCUCGCAUUAGAGAAUUAACAUAUAGUUAAUUCUCUAACCGGUGUGGUACAGAUGCUUCCCCUUAAUGGGUUCAAACACUAAAUCCCUCUCACUGAUGCAACUUGCAAUGGCUCGUGCCUCUCACCUAGCAUUUGCCAUUCAAGGUGAUCUUUAACCUUGGAUUACCCUUCACAAGCUCGCAAGAGAUAACUAAUGGAUGUCUCCUUAGAGUCCAAAAGCUUACCAAGUGUUGGCAAUUCUAGAAAAUCAUACCUUCAAACCACCUCCCAAAAGCUCGCAAGAGGUAAACCAGUGCAUCUCCAUUGACGGAGAUCACUUGCCUAACCAAGUGUUGGCUCAAGUGAAUUGAAGGUGUUUUAAGUUAACUAAAAAGAUAAAAACCAUUAACGGGUCACACUUUCUCUUCAUUAAAAACUAAAACAACAAAACUUCCAAUUUAUGCAUGAGGAAACUUACCCGGCUUUCUUUCACUCCAAGAGACGAAGAGCCUAGCCUCUCAUCCUCUGAGAAAAAAUCCUCAGAGUUUGAUUGGCUAGAAAGAAAACUAACGAGAAAACAAAAAUAUAUAUAAGAAGCAGAGCAAAAGCUCUGUUCGUUGAUUACAUAUAUGAUAUAUGAUAUAUGAUGGAUCCUCUUCUUUACAUUGGUUCAAAGAUAUAUAUAGAGAAGAUAUUUUCUAAGAAAUAUCCCAAUAAUAUCUUUGACUAAUUACAAGGAGAAAAUAGAAAUUUACACAAAAUAUCUUGAGAGAAAAAAUCUAACUUAGUCGGUGGCAAAUAUCAGGAAGCUUCAGGAGAAUAUCGCGUCACUGUGCAAAAAUCCGGGUAAUCUGAAAUGCCGGCCGCGGAUGCUCUCCGGGUUAGCGCUAUUAGAAGAUCCGGACAUGCCUGUCUGGGGAGGUUGAAAUGCCUCUUCUUCCAUCCGGCGUCAGGCGUCGGAUUUGAAAUAUCUGAUCAGAGGAUCCUGACAUGUCUGACCGAACAGAAUUUCAGAUGUGAGAUAUCCGGACGUCGCAAGGGGGACCGUUUGCGUGUACAAGGUGUAGAGACCCUUCCCCCUGAUGACACGGAGCACGCAUCGCUAUCCAGAGCAACUCCAUCCGGAUUUCCCAAGAGGACACGCACCGCCAUGCUAUCCGGCACUCGUGAACAUCACACUCCGGAUGAUAGCAUAUCCUAUCCGGAUAUGUUGUCUGGAUCAUUGACUAAAGUGAGCAAGCCUUACUACAGCCCACGUUCCGCCGCUCUUCCAAUGGUGUGUCCGGACGCCCUGUCUGGACAUCUUUUUCCAUGGAUUCCAAAGAACUCUCCUCAAUCUCGGAUUGCUUUGGUGAUAAAAAAGCUAUCAAAACACCAAAACUUAACACAAUUUGAUUAGAAUUGAUUGCAAGGGUCCUUAAUAUGUUAAUUGGGUUAAAAAGUGAUAACUACUACUCAAAAGUGUUUAAAAGAGUUAAUUACAAGCUAUGAAAUAACACUUUUUGAGUAGUAAUCAAUAAUGUUCUCUAUUGUAUAGUGGAAUGAUUCUCUUUCAUUCGUGGAUGUAGGCAUGGUUGUCGAACCACAUUAAAACCUCGUGUACUGUUUGUGUUUUUUUUUUAAAAAAAAUUAAUCUUUGUUUCUUGAUUAAUGAUGUGUGCAUCAAAGCUUCCAUCUACGUAACAAACUGGUAUCAGAGCUUGGGUUGAAGAUUUUUGGAAUAGUAAAAGAUCACAAAGCACACAAGAUGAAAACAAAAGGAAUUUUUAGUGAAUGUGGAGUCAAUUGUUCUCUCAUGGUGAUAUGAUACAAAAAGUUUGUGUCAUGGAGGGUUUAAUGAUUGACUCCAUGGAAUUUGGUCCAAGGUAGAGAUUGUUAGGAAGUGUCCCAAAUUCCUAAUUAGUAUAGAUUUUUUUUUUAUAAAGAAUCUUGUAUAGAAUAUUUCUAGGUUGAUAUAUUAUUGUAAUAUUAGACUUCCUUAUAGAAUAAUGAAGGUUGUUGGAAAUAUUUUUAUAAAUAUUUUUAGUCAUGAGGGGAAAAAGUUAUGAGAUGAAGAUGAGCCUAUAAAGACCAUACGAGAUGGAUAGAGAUAUGAGGAAGAAUCGAAGGUACCCAGUGGAGCAAGAGGGCUCGUGGUAGGGUAUGAAUAUGAAGAGUGGGGAAACAUGGGAUGUUUUGGGAACCCAAUAGUUGUAUCUAGUUUUGUCAUCUAUAAUGUUCUGGUUCUGGCAUCUAUAAUGUUCUGGUUUUGUCCUAUGUAAUGUUCUUUAUUGUAUAGUGGAAUUAUUAUCUCUCAUCUGUGUAGACAAGUUGCUAAACCACGUUAAAACCUCGAAUACCAUUUGUGUUGAUUUUUUUUAUCUUUGCGUUCUUGAUUAACGAUGCUUGCAUCAAAGCUUCUACCAACGUAACAAUGUGCAACAUAUUUGAUAUAACUUAUAUUUUCUUAAGUAAUUGAACACUUUUUCUAUAAAUUUACUUGAUUAUCAAUGAAUACCUACAUAUACGGUAUUGACAUAGUUUGAUAAAUAUUUUAAAAUAGUAUUAGAAUGGCUUUUCUUUUUCCCAAUUAACAAAUUUAUCAAAUAUAUACAUACACACACACACACACACAUAAUACUCAUUAGUAUGUCUUUUAUGAAAAAACUAUAUUUGUUUAUUUGAAUUUAGUAGCCAUUCAACUCCUUAGUUACUCAUAAACUUUUUAUCACCUUCUUAAAGUCAAGUCAUUUACAAUUAUUUCUAUCUAGCCUUCUCCAUUAUAACAACUUUAUAAGAUAGUGAUUGAUUGGAAGAAUCUACAUGCCUUUGUUGAUAGGAUAAUUGUUUUUCUUUUUUUUUCGUAUUCAAAGAAUCUUGCUUCUGUUAUUGAAACUUUCAAAUCCUUUAUGUCAAGUUGUCUUAUAAUUCCCUAUUCAUUGGUCUUUCAUAUUACCAAUCAUUUUGAAAAUGAGUUAAUUUCAUUCACAUCCUCUGAGAUUUGAUGUAAAUUCGCUUAGUUACCAAUGAUUUCAAAUUUCAUUAAUUAGUACCCCUAUAGAUGUAAUUUGUGUACAAAAUUUAUUUUUUAAAAGAGUUUAGGUAAAAAUAUUUUAGGUAUAUGUCUUUAACAAUUCUCUAAAAUAAAUUUUACUUGCUAAAAAAUAACUUAUAUAGAUAGAAUACAUCUACAGGAGUUCUAACUAACGAAAUUUAAAACUAAUGGUGGUUUAGUGUAUUUAAACUAAACAUUAGGAAGGGUGACUGAAAUUAACCCUCUAGGUAUAUAUGUUUAACAAAAUUUUUAUUGUUUAUUUUUCAUUUAAUGUUUGCAUUUUUCAAUAAACAUUGAAAAGGAAUUGUUUUUCCAUAUGUUAACAAAAAGAAAUUUGAACACCUAUAAAAAUAAAAUCUUGUAGCAAAAUUGGAGUUACAUUAUCAGACUUUUAAUGAGUGUUUAUGUUUAGAAAGACCAAUUAAAGCAAGCAUGCAUCUAGAAAUUGUAACUUAGAUGCAUCAAACAUGAGCAACAUAUUUGAUAUAACCAAUAGUUUCUUAAGUAACUAAACACUUCUUUUUCUAUAAAUUUACUUGAUUAUCGAUGAAUACUUACAUAUAUUUACAUAGUUUGAUAAAUAUUUUAAAAUAAUAUUAGAAUAACUUUGUUUUUUCUCAAUUAUAUUAGAAAAUAAUAUAAAGUUACUUAUAAACUUUAUAUCAUUUUCUCAAAGUCAAGUCAUUUACAAUUAUUUCUAUCUAGCCUUCUCCAUUAUGACAACUUUUAUAUGAUAGCCGUUGAUUGGAAGAAUCUACAUGUCUUUUUUGAUAGGAUAGUUGUUUUUAUUUUUUUAUUUUUUUUAUUCCAAAAAUUUGCUUCUAUCAUUGAAACUUUCAAAUCUUUUAUGUAUAUUACCAAUCAUUUUACAAGUGAGUUAAUUUCACUUAGGGUAGAUAUACUUAGCCACACCCCUAUAGAUGUAAUUUGUGUUUAAAUUUUAUUUUUUAUUUAGGUAAAAAUAUCUUAGGUAUAUGUGUUCAACAAUUCUCUAAAAAAUAAAUUUUCUUAUCUAAAAGUUUAUAUAGACAAAAUACAUCUAUAGAAGUCCUAAUUAAUGAAAUUUAAAAUUAAUGGUUGUUUAGUGUAUUUACAUUAAACCUUAUGGGGUAUGAUUGAAAUUAACUCUUUUACAAGCACUUGUAGCUAAUAUGUUUGUAGUUGUAGUGUUGGAAAUUGAUCAUUUUCUUGAAGGCCUCUAAGAUAUUGAAAAUAUUGCCAUAGUUUUAGACUUUUUUUUAUUACACCUAAUAAAAAAUAUUAUUAAUUUAACAUAUAUAUUCUUGACUUAAAAGUAAAGUCUCUCCAUAUUGUAUAAGCCCUUAGGUGGCAAUAUUAGGUGAAGUUUUUCUUUCGUUUAUUACAAAAUAUAAAUAAUUUAUUAUUGUAUGAUAAAAUUUUAUGUAAUAUAUUUUUAUAGAUGUAAAAUUAUUAAUUGGGUUUUUUUUUUACUAAAUUGUCAUUUCAAUAUAUAAAACUUAUUUGUAAAAAGACAAUUAUAAACUAUAUGAAAUUGAAAAACAUUUAGUUUUUUUAUUUAAUUUAGAAUUUUAUUUGGAUUAAUAAUUGAUAUUUGUAAGAUUUUUUAAUAUUAAAAAAAGUUAGCAUACUUAAGAAAGAUAUUCAAGAUCGGGAGUGUUUGAUAUUGGAUUAAUUUCCUUAUUUUCUCUAUUUUAAUAAAUUUUCACGUCCAUUACAAAAUUUUUGUUGUUUAUUUUUCACUUCAAUAUUUUUAUUUUGUAAUAGACAUUUGAAAAGAUUUUUUCCUACAUGUUAAAAAAAAAAAUAUUUGAACACUCCUAAAAAAGAAUAUUGCUAUAAAAUUAAAGUUUACAUUGUAGGACUAUUAGCAAAUGCUAUAUACUUAAAAUAGACCAAUUAAAGUAGAAAUACUUCUAAAAUUGUAAUUUAGGUAACAAUAAUAUAAAAAGAUAAUAUUUUUGAAACAAUAGUUCUCUUGGAGUUUUGGGUACGAUGGACUAGACUUUAUGUACAAUAGAUAUACAAACUUUCCAUUAACAUCUUGAGAGACAUGAUGAGGAGCAAAGUCAUCCAAGAAGGUACCAUAGAGGUACCUUAGCUCCAUUCAUCUAGACUACAUAAUGUUUAAAGAUCAAAUUCAAUGACUAGAUUUCAAAAAUCAAUAUAAGCUUUCUCAUAUUCUACUCUAUAUAAGACAAUGGUAUGAUACCUCUCUUGUGUCGUAGAAUGCACCAUGAAAACCUUAUCAUUUUAACAUCAGUUUGAAACUUAAAAGUCACUUAGCACAUUCUAGUUAUUAAUCUAAGAGCAUUAAAAGAAAAUAUAAAAAAAGUUACUUUAUCCUUGUGAUUUUGAUUUAGGACUUUUAAUGAUAUUAAAAAAAAAAAACAAAACAGAAAAAUAAAUGGAAAUAAAAUCAACAAAUUAAACAAUUGAAUUAAGUUAGUUUAAUUCUUGCAUCGUUAAAUGGGUAAAUAAAGACUCUUAGAUUUGAUAUUAAUAUGAACAUCAUGACUUCAGUGAAUCUUACAAGAAAAUUUUAGUUUGAAAGACUUCAUUCAUUAAACGUGUGGCACAUAUUAAAGUAAAACUAAGUCUUCUCUAUAAUUUGUACCUAUCAUAGUUUCUUUCCUUAUAAAUAGCCUUUUUUGAAUAUAAUAUAGACUUCAACAUGCAUGGUGGGGCCAAUCAAACUACUAGUCAAGACAACUCAUGGGCAACAACGAUGUACCAACUACAUUUAAAUACUCUUCAUCUAUUUACAUAUCAAGAGUAAUUUAGUAGUGUCUUAUUUAUGUACCUCAUAUCUAGACUUUCAAUGGAGAGUUCUUCAUCUAAAAAUUUGACUUGGGUUUUCAUACUAGUUUUGGUUUAGACAUGUGGAUGCAAAGGUUGCAUCAAAGAAGAGAAGUAGGCUAAAUCAUCUUACAAAUUUUAUAGUUCAAAUUAGAUGCACCAAACAUAUGCAACAUAUUUGAUAUAACUAAUAUUUUCUUAAGUAAUUGAAUACAAUUUUUUUUUUAAAUUUACUUGAUUAUUAAUGAAUAACUACAUGUAUGGUAUUGACACAACAUGAUAAAUCUUUUAAAAUAGUAUUAGAAUAACUUUGCUAAAAAAAAGUAAAAAUAAAAAUAAAAAUACAUCUAUAUAUAAAAUUAAAUUAAAUUAAAAAUUAAAAAAGAAUAUAUAUUCUCUGUGUGUGUGUGUGUGCAUGGUCCCACAACUCAUUAGCUACUCAUAAGCUUUAUAUCACUUUCUCAAAGUCAAGUCAUUUUGUAAUUAUUUCUAUCUAGCCUUCUCCAUUACGACAACUGUAUAGGAUAUUGAUUGGUUGGAAAAAUCUUCAUGUCUUUUUUUAUAAGAUAGUUUUUUUAUUAUUAUUAUUAUUCAAAGAAUUUGCUUUUAUUAUUGAAACUUUCAAAUCCUUUAUGUCUAGUGGUCCUACAAUUCCCUAUUCAUUGGUAUUUCAUAUUACCAAUCAUUUUACAAAUAAGUUUAUUUCACCCGGUAAAUAUACUUAACUACUAAUGGUUUCAAAUUUAAUUGAUUAACACACUUAUAGAUGUAAUUUGUUUUUAAAUUUUAUUUUUUUAGAAGAAUUGUAGGUAAAAAUGUUUUAGGAAUAUGUGUUCAAUAAUUCUCUAAAAACAAUUUAUAUAGAUGGAAUACAUUCAUGUAAGUUCCAACUAAUGAAAUUUAAAACUAAUGACAAUUUAAUGUAUUUGCACUAAAUCUUAGGGGAGGUGUACUAAAACUAGCCCUUUUACAAAUAUUUGAUAUGAAAUUAAUUAAUUAAUUUUUUCUAUUUAAAUAAAUUUUUGCAUCCAUUAAUAAAAUUUUAUUGUUUAUUUUUCACUUCAAUAUUUUUAUUUUGUAAAAUAAAUAGAAAUAAAAUCAACAAAUUAAAAAAUUGAAUUAAGUUAGUUUAAUUUUGCCACCUUUAAAUUGGUAAAUGAAGACUCUUAUAUUUGAUAUUAACAUGAACAUCAUGACUUUAUUGAAUCUCACAAGAAAAUUUUAGUUUGAAAGAUUUUAUCCUUUAAACAUGUGACACAUAUUAAAGUGAGACCAAGUCUUCCCUAUAAUUUGUAUCUAUCACAAUUUCUUUCCUAAUGAAUAGCCUUUUUGAAUAGAAUAUAGACUUUAGCAUGCAUGGUGGGGCCUAGCUAUCAAACUACUAGUCAAAACAACUCAUGGGCAAGAAUGAUGUACCAACUAGAUUAAGUAUUCUCCAUCUAUUUGCAUAUCAAGAGUAAUUUAGUAGUAUCUUUCUUGUGUACCUCAUUUCUAGACUUUCAAUGGAGAGUUUUUUAUCUUAAAAUUUGACGUGGGUUUUCAUACUAGUCUUGGUUCAGAUAUGUGAAUGCAAAGGUUGCAUCAAAGAAGAGAAGUAGGCUAAGUCAUCUUACAAAUUUUCAAGUUCAAAUUAGAUGCAUCGAACAUGUGCAACAUAUUUGAUAUAACUAAUAUUUUACCAAGCAACUAAAUACUUUAUAUAUAUAUAUAAAUUUAUUGAUGAUCAAUGAAUACCUACAUGUAUGGUAUUGACACAGUUUGAUAAAUCUUUUAAAAUAGUAUUAGAAUAACUUUGCUAAAAAAAGUAAAAAUAAAAUAAAAUAAAAUAUAUAUAUAUAUAUAUAUAUAAAUAAACAAAAUAAAAAAUUUAAAAAGAAUAUAUAUAUUAGUGGUCCCACAACUCAUUAGCUACUCAUAAGCUUUAUAUCAUUUUCUUAAAGUCAAGUCAUUUACAAUUAUUUCUAUAUAGCCUUCUCCAUUGCGACAACUGUACAAUAUAUUAAUUGAUUGAAAAAAUCAUCAUGUCUUUUUUGAUAGGAUAGUUUUUUUUUUAUUCAAAGAACUUUCAAAUUCUUUAUGUCUAGUGGUCCUACAAUUCCCUAUUCAUUGGUAUUUCAUAUUACCAACCAUUUUACAAAUAAGUUAAUUUCACUCGAUAAAUAUACUUAACCACCAAUGGUUUCCAAUUUGUAGCAUUCUUAUAGAUGUAGUUUGUUUUUAAAUUUUAUUUUUUAGAAGAAUUGUAGGUAAAAAUAUUUUAGCUAUAUAUGUUCAACAAUUCUCUAAAAACAAUUUAUAUAGAUGGAAUACGUUCAUGGAAGUUCCAACUAAUGAAAUUUAAAACCAAUGAUGAUUUAAUGUAUUUGUACUAAAUCUUAGGGAGUGUGGACUAAAAUUAGCCCUUUUACAAAUAUUUAUAACUAGUAUAUUUGUAGUUGUGGUAUUGGAAGUUGAUCAUUUUCUUAAAAGGUUUACCAUUGAAGUUAGUUGAAUAUAAAGUUAGGUGAACUUUACCAUUGUUAAAUUGGUAAAUGAAGACUCUUAGAUUUGAUACUAACAUGUACAUCAUGACUUCAUUGAAUCUCUCACAAGGAAAUUUUAGUUUGAAAGACUUCAUCUUUUAAACAUGUGGCACAUAUUAAAGUGAGACCAAGUCUUCCCUAUAAUUUGUAUCUAUCACAAUUUCUUUCCUCAUAAAUAGCCUUUUUGAAUAGAAUUAAUAUAGACUUUAGCAUGCAUGAUGGGCCCUAUCAAACUAUUAGUCAAGAUAAUUUGUAGGUAAGAACGAUGGACCAACUAUAUUAAAUACUCUUCAUCUAUUUGCAUAUCAAGAGCAACUUAAUAUUGUCUUUCUUUUGUACUUCAUGUUUGAACUUUCAAUGGAGAGUUUGUCAUCUAAAUAUUUGAUGUGGGUUUUUAUACUACUCUUGGUUCAAAUAUGUGGAUGCAAAGGUUGCAUCGAAGAAGAGAAGAUGGGUUUGCUUGAAUUCAAGGCUUUUCUUAAAUUGAAUAAUGAGCAUGCAGAUUUUCUUCUCCCUUCAUGGAUAGAUAACAACACUAGUGAAUGUUGUAAUUGGGAGCGGGUUAUUUGCAAUCCCACCACAGGUCGAGUUAAGAAGCUUUUCUUCAAUGAUAUAACGCGACAACACUUGGAAGACAAUUGGUACUAUUACGAAAAUGUCAAAUUCUGGUUACUAAAUGUCUCCUUAUUCCUUCCUUUUGAAGAACUUCACCAUCUAAACUUGUCUGCAAACUCAUUUGAUGGGUUUAUUGAGAAUGAAGGUAUGUUACCUCUCACCUUUAAAUUUUCUUUUCACUUAUACUCCAAACAUUCUAAAGGAACUACUAGCAUAUGUUCUUAAAAGUGUUCAGGUGGAGAACAAAUGGUCACUAGUAACUAUUGAAUUUAAUAUAAGAACAAUUACUAAUUAUUAAAAUUUAUAAUGUAAAUUAACAUUUAAACAGAACAAUAAAAAAAUUAUUAUUUUAGAAAACUAUAGAUUACAUUAGCCUUAUAUAUAUAAGCAUACUUGUUAUUUAUGUCAUCAUUUCACACUCAACCCAAUAAGUGGGAUUCAACUAAGAGUGAGCAAUUUCACAAUUAUUAAUUAACAGGAACACUUAGGCUCCCAUAUCCUUAUCAUUUUUGCUGAAUUGUCUUUCCUUAUCUUCCAUUCCUAAAAAGCUUGAUUUCUAUAUUCCAAAUUGAUAGAGAUUGGUUAAAGAAAGGUGAUCACAAAAUUUGACUAUUGCUUUCAAAUGAGGAAUCACCAUCUUCAAAAUUUCACAUUUACAAAAAAAAUAAAUAAAAUAAAUAAAUAAAUAAAACUAGCCUCGGGUAAGGUCCAAGCCUUAUUGUUUUAAGCUGAUGUCAGAUUGGUUUAAUAAUGAACAGAGUAAAUCCUAACCCAUGACCAUCUACGCAUUUCCAAAUUCCACCCAUCCACAACCCAUUAAUAUGACAUUUUCAGGGACAAAAUUUAAUCAAUUAAACCUAUUAGAUGGAUUCUCCAUACAAUGUUAAAAUGAAUAUAAAAACUUUAAUUCAAAAAAUAAUUUCCUUUAUUUAGUUAGGAUUCAAAUUAUAGGGGCACAAAACAUGAAAAUUUUCAUGUUUAAAAUUCACAAAGAUCACAAAAGCUCUUUGAAGCUCUAUGGACUUUUUUAUUUCUAACAUUUAAACACAAAAAUCACCAAAUUUAAUUAGAGAUUUGGAUGCAUAUUCUUAUAUUAAAGACAUGUAAGCUUACAUAUUUAAAUAUGAAGAUCUCAACUUGUAAUUACAUGCUUCUAAUUAAAGUUAUAUUACUCUAUUUUACAGGAUUUAAAGGGUUAUCAAGUUUAAAGAAAUUGGAGAUCUUGGACAUAAGUGGUAAUGAGUUUGACAAAAGUGCCUUAAAAUCUUUGGGCACAAUAACAUCACUCAAGACAUUGGCUAUUUGCAGCAUGGGACUGAAUGGAUCUUUUUCCAUUCGAGGCAUGUUAUAUGUCCACAUUGUUUCUUUGAAAUUAAGUAAAAUAUAUUUCUAACUUUUAAUGUUCCUUAGUUAAUCUCUCUUUUGAUUCAUGUUUGUUGCAGACUUAGCUAGUUUGAGAAAUUUGGAAGUGUUGGAUCUAAGCUAUAAUCAUUUGGAAAGCUUUCAACUAUUGCAAGGUACUUCAUUAACUUGCUAAAAAAACUUACGAUAUUUUGUUAUUAAAUUAAAGGUAAGAUUAACAAACAAUUUCUUCUCAUUAGUUACUUUUCUUUGUAAUAUCAUUAAAUUUGAUAUAAUGUAGUCUAAAUCAUCCUUUCAAUUUAUAAGUUUUAAUUAAAACGCAUCAAGCAUGCACAAGAUGUUUAAUAUAACUAAUAUUUUCAUAAGUAAUUGAAUUUUUUUUAUGAAUUAAUUAACUUGAUUAUCAAUAAAUGCUUACAUGUAUAAGAUUAAUAUAGUUUCAUAAGUAUUUUAAAAUUGUCUUACAACACACACACACACACACAAGGAAAAUGAAAGGUAUGUGAUACCUUUAUGCUAUGUUUGGUUCUCAAAAAAAAUUGAGGGAAAAUGAAAGGAGAAAAAAAUAGAGAGGAAAAGUAAAAGAAAAGAAAAGAAAAAAAGUGAAGAAAAAUAUAAAAUUGAUUAAAGUAAAUACAUUAUUUUUAUAUGUUACUUUAACUUGUUUCACUUAUUUUAAUUCUUCAAUGUAAAGAUGAAAGAUUUGAAAAUGCAUAAGUUUCUAAUUAUUUUUUUAUUUUAUUUUAUAGUUUUUACAAUACAACCAAACAUAAUAAAAUCAUUUUCUUUAAUUUUUUUUCUUUUCUUAAUACUUUUCACGAACCCUUAAGUUAUGUUUGGUUUGCAGAAAAUAUGAGGAACAGAAAAUAGAAAAGAAAAUUAAAAGGAAAGAAAAAGUGAAGUAAAAUAAAAAUAAAUUUAAAUUUAAUAAAUUAUUUUUAUAUGCUACUUUAAACUUAUUUCACUUAUUUUAAAUUAUUUAAACUCAUUUCUAAUAAAUAAUAAUGGAAAUUGUAGAGAAGUUUGUGUUAUUCAAGCUUUGCAAUGACUUUUCAAGGUGAAGGAAAAUAUUCUUGCUGAAAUUGAAGAAGGAAAUACCUUCUUAAAUAGCCUAUUGACCGAAAACACAUUACCCUAACAUAUACACACACCUUUAUUAUUUAUACAAUCAUUUAAUACUUAAUCCCGUUAGUGGGAUUCUAGUGGUUGUUUCUAUCUUGGUUUCCAAUAUUUCUGAUUGAUAGUGUUGGAUUAAUGAAAUAUCAUAAAUUUUGACCCCAAUAAGGACCAAUCCCUAUUAAAUGUAAUUGGGUUGACCUAAGACUAAAUGUUAGACCCAACUAAUAAAAACCCAUCUGUUUGUUGGAGUCUAAAUAACCCAGCCUUAGGUAGGGCCCAUGCCUUAUUAUUUUAAGAUGUAGUCCAACUGGUUUGACACUGGAUUGAGUAAAGCCCAACUUAUGAGCAUCUGUGCAUUUCCAUCCAUCCACAACCUACUGGCAUGGACAAACUUUGGUCAAUUAAACCUAUUAUAAAUGUAUACAAAAUUUUAAGUUCAAAAGAUAAUUUUUCUUAUUUAGUUAGGAUUCAUAUUAAAAAGGCACAAAGCACGAAUUUUCAUGUUUAAAUUCACAAAUAUCACGAAAGCUCCUUCAAGCUCUAUGGACCAUUUUAUUUGUAACAUUAUAUUACUCUUAAUUAUCAAAUUAACCAACAAAUUCUUCUCAUUAGUUAUUUUUCUUUUGUAGUGUCAUAAAAUUUGAUGUAAAGUAAUAUUGGUCAUCAUUUCAACUUUCAUGUUCCAAUUAGAUGCAUCAAGCAUGUGCAACAUAUUUGAUAUAACUAAUAUUUUUAUAAGUAAUUGAAUUUUUUUUUCUAUAAAUCAAUUAACUUGAUUAUCAAUGAAUACUUUCAUACAUGAUAUUGAUGUAGUUUCAUAAAUAUUUUUAAAUAGUCAUAGAAGUCUUUUAUCUGAUUCACUAGAAAGAAAAAUAAACUAUUCUAAUGAAAAUACUUGAUGAUUUGAAGUGAUUGCUUUUGAUUUUAUUUGAUUGCUACCAUUAUUAAUUGUUAGAAAUUGGCAACAAAUACCCAUUUUGCAUCACUUCUAUAUGCAUCGAGGGAAUGAAUUAUAUUUCAUAGAGCUAACAGGGCAAAACUCAUACUUUUGGAAUUAUGGAAAAGGUUGCUAGAAAGCUAAUUAACAAUUUAUAUUAUGAUUAAGACUAGUUGGGUUAGAAAUAAUUCAUAUGGAGAUUAAAAAAAACUAUGUAAUUUAGUUUAGUAGCUUGGGUGCUAUUGUAAUGAUUAAUGAUCUGCAACUUGAACACAUCUACUAGUGCUUUCUACUUGUAUAGCUAAAUUUAUGUUACCACUUUGAACUACAGUACUUACAUGAGAAGAAAGCUUUUCCUUAGUGAUAAUGCAAAAGAAAUUAAGUAUCAAUUUUUGUUAAACUAACAAGUGAUAGUUUAGAUAUGUUUUGAAUACACUUCCUUUCUUCUAUUUUUUUAUUUUGAAAAAAAAAACUCUUUAAUGAAAUAUAAGAAAUCUUAUAUGUAUAAAAAGUAAAGACUUAAACAAAAAAAUUCUUCAAAUUUUAAAAAUUUCGAGAAGUAUUUUUAAGAAUUUGUAUUUUUAGUAUAAUAAUUCCUAUAUUUUGUAUAAAAGCUUUUGUUCAAAAAAAUAGAAGUGUAUCCAAAUUAAAAAUUAAUGGUUAAAUUAAGAAUGUUUCUCAGAUCAAGGGAUAAUGAAAGUUGUAGAGAGUUUGCAUUACUCAACCUUUGCAACUACUUUUUGAAGGUAAAAGAAAAUACCUUCUUACAUAACAUACAAUGGCAAGUUCUGGUUUGUAAGAAACUAAUAAAUGAUUAAGAAUAUGAAUAAGACUUCCUUAAUAAUAGAUAUGUAGAGAAGAAUAGUGGAUGAUAGGAGGUGAAAAUCUUGUAAUAAAAUAUCAAUAUCGGUUAUAAGAUAAUCAACAUUUUCUUGUACCUAUGUGAUUAAGAAUCUUGUAGCUCCCUUAUUGAAAUAUAAUAUAAAAAUAUAAAUAAACUAUUUAGAAGUGCAUGUAGUUUUCAACAUGAGGAAGUUCAAAAGCAAGUUAAUUAUGAUAAUUUUCUAUAGUCUAUAUUGAACACAAAUUAUUUUUUCUAAAGGUUCAAUCGUUCUAUGAAGGUUAAAAGUUUGAAUUGUUUACAUAUGCAAAUGUGAAAUUUGAAAUUUUAUAAUGUUUUAUAAUUUUCUUGUAGAUUCAAAAAACUUGUCCAUAUUCAAAAAGCUCGAGACCUUGAACCUCAAUCACAACAAGUUCAAAAACACUAGCCUACAACAAUUGAAUAUAUUUACAUCCCUUAAAAAUCUUUCUCUAAGACGGAACUAUGAUGGAGGAUUUUUUCCGAUCCAAGGUAUGUGUAAUUAUUAUUAUUAUUUUUAAUGAUAAAAUAUUAGAAUUGUCAACAUCUUUUAUCUUUUUUCCCCUCAAUGGUGUUGCAGAAUUAUGCACUCUAGAAAACUUGGUGAUGUUGGACCUAAGUGGGAAUUUCUUUAUUGGCAUGCAAGGUAAAUACAAAGUGAAGUUUUGGUUAUAUAUAUAUAUCAUGUAAGAACAUAACUAAAAUCAACAUUCUUUGCCUAUCAAUUUGUGCAUGACUAUUAUUUAGUUAUUCUUCGUAACAUAAUUGAAAGAAUGUUUAGGUGUAUAACAUUUAAGAAUUUUACAUGGCACAAUGAAAAACAUGGUAAUCAAUGUAUGCAAUAAAAUUCUAAUAGUUGAAAAAGAAUUUUCUUGUAAUUUUAUGUUCGUGUAUAGUAAUCAAAGAGAAAAUCAUGAAAAUGUAUAUUAGUUAGACUUUAUAUAUCAAUAGACAAAAAAGAAAGAAAAAAGAUUAGUUCCUUAACUUAUCCUAAAAUUUUCUAGAUAACAAGGAGUUUUUUUAUUUUGGGCUAUAAGAUUUACAACCUGAAAAGUGAAGAUGAUUAAUAUUAGUAAUAUAAUUUUGAAAUAUAAAAAUUAAUGAAAUAAUGUUCUCUAUAACUAUAACUGCAACUGCAACUAUUAAUAAAAGAUAAUAAAAGUACUUUAGACUUUGAAUCCAUGGUUAGGUUUGCAAUUUUUUGAUGAUCAAUAAAGCUACAACUUAUGCUGCAAAAGGCUAUACAAAAUGUAUUAGGAGCAUUGCUAAGCUCAUUUAUCAAUAAAAGAAAUCCAGUAAUACUUUGAUUGGAAAAAACCUAGAAUCAUGUUUGAUAUAUAUAAUAGGAGAAGAAACAAAAUAACAAUUCCAUGGUAUUAGUUAGUUUGAUAUCCCUUUUGUUAUAUGGAAUAACUAUUCCAUUUUAAAAUAAUUAUUUCAUCUUAUCGCUAGAACAAAAAAUUUCAAGCAAUUAUAUGCGCUUUUGGGUUUCUUAAGAAUUUAAGCAUUUAUGGGUCACCCAUAUAUACAUAUAUAUAUAUAUAUAUAUAUAUAUAUAUGUAGGAAGAAUAAAAAAAAAUAUUAUACGGAGACAAGGGUAGACACCCAUAUAUAUAUAUAUAUAUAUAUAUAUAUAUAUAUAUGUAGGAAGAAUAUAAAAAAAUAUUAUAUGGAGACAAGGGUAGACACCCAUAAAUGUACAUAUAAUUAUUUAAAUAAAAAAUCAAUAAGAAACAAUAUACAACAAAAUAGAAAAUUUUAAUCUUCUUAAAUUUUAAAAAUAAAAACUAAAUGAAAAAAAAUUAAGAAGUAAAAAUAAUAAUAAAAAGGUCAAGAAUACAAAUAGAGAAGUAAACAAAAAAAAUACAUAAAUUAAAAUUAAAAUUUAAAAGAAAAAAUACAUAGAUUAAUAUGAACACUAAAUGAGGUUUUUUGAGAUAGACUUAGUUAGACCUGAACCAGAUGGAUAUUAAAAAAAAUAAAAAAAAAUUGAAAGAAAUAAAAACUAAUUAGAUGCUAAAUAUUGGAUUAAAAUAACCAAAUGAAUAAAGAGUAAUUAUUAAUUUUUAACAUUUUUUAUUCCCUAGAAUUAUUAUUUUGUGUAUUAAAUGUAUUCUGAGUGUAGUGGUAUAAAAAAUGUAGUUAAGAAUACUAUGAAGAAUAAUAAUGGUGAUGAUAAUGGUGACGACACUUAAUACCUUUUAUUGUACGUUUAGAAAAAAUGAGGUUCUUGAUCUUUAUGGAGAUUAUCAUUACUCAUCCGCAAGCAUGUUGAUAGUUGAAACUACUCAAUUAUCAAAAAUUGAAUUUCUAACCUUCAAUUUUUCUCUCUCAAAUGUAUAUGUGGGUGAGAAAGCACUAGGAAGAUUAUAAGGUCUCACAUGUAUAUGAGUCAUAGGAUAAAAAAUAUAGAGACAAUACUAGCAUUUAUUUGAUCUAGUGGCAAAUAGAGAAAUAUAAAAUAACCAUAACCAUAAUGUUCUAACCUUAUAUAUACCAGAACCAUGUUUCCUUCAUUCAAUGUUGCAACUUUUUCUUUUCAAAUUAGAAUGUAACUUGUAGGAUCCAUUGCCCAUCAAAAUUUUGAAUCGAAUAUUAUAAGAUAUUUCACAUUUCUACCUACUAAAGCAUGAGCUUCAAUGUUCUCAUGCACUUUUGGCUACUAAGUUAAAGAACCCUUUGAGGAUUAAUGGAGUUUCUAUGAGUAGCAAAGCAUUAUAAUCAGAAAGUCUUAUCAGUGAUAUGCAAUUUGACCAAGAACUUAUUCCCAACUAUUUUAUGAAUUUUAUGACUUUUCUUGGCUACUUGUAGGCAAGCUAAAGAAAUUUUCUGGUUUGUUCAAGUCUAAAAAGUGGUUUCAAGUUUAGGGCCAAGCUUGGGCUGCACCUAGGUCCUUGGGCCUUGUUCAGCUCCACGUUUAAACCAACCUUGAGUCCAUCUUUGUAAUUUUUCUCCCAAUUCAUUGAUUAAUAUUAGGAUUUUAUAGAGCCUAUAAAUUGACCAACUAAAUAAAGUAGGUUCAUAAACUUUUAGGUGAAAAUUUUCUCUUUAAUAAAUGUUAAUUCAAGAGUCUCCGUAAUCUUUUUAUAUUCAUAUUAAUUGGUAUUUAAACCGACCUUACUAUAUUAAAGUCAAAUACCAAAUAGUGAACACUAUAUCUACUACUACCACUAUGAUGGUCACAAACAUAGAAUGCUCCAUUUUUUAGAGUCAAUUGAUGCUUAUAAACAACUUUGUUUGAAAAUAAAACACAUCGAGUGAUUGCAUCAAGAGAUUGAUGUAAUAAUUGCAUACUUGAUCUAGAUAAUGUUAAUAUGAGUUGACUAAAUAAAUGAGUAUUUACUUAUAAGGUAGCCCAUAGAACAUUAUUUGUGGAAAUAUUCAUGCACCUCUACAUAUGUUCAUGAUAACUUAGGUUGAUAAAUUUAAGAAGAACAAAUUCAUAACCUUGGGCAUAGUUAGUAAGAAAUUUCACCAAUAGAGUUUGGUAUCAUGAUUCUAAUUGUUCAAAUUGUUUUAAAGGAGUAUUUUAAAUUGCAUGUUAAUUUGCUUCUAAUAAAUGGAGAGAAACCAAUUCAAGAAGAGAAUUGUACUCAAGCUAUGUAUAGCAUUCAUGAAGAUGUAGAAAAUAUUGAUGAACUUACUUUUGAGCAAGUUGAAAUCAUAAUUAAAUAAAAUAACAAACCCAAGGGUUAAGAUUGUCAAGUAAAACUUUAAUUAAAAUUUAUUGAUUUUUUAAAUGCCUAUUAGAGGAGCAAUAGAAGUUCUAGAUAGAAAGUAAGAACUUUUCUAAGGAAUCACUUGUUAGAUUUUAAGUGAUCAAUAAAUAUAAUGUCCAAUUUAAAACUUUUAUAAAAGCAAUGGUUCUAAAGAAUAACUUGAUUUGAAUUUAAAGUUAUUAUUGAUAUUUAUUUAUAAUGGAUGUAGUUAAUCAAUUGAACAUAGUAAAAAACACAUAAUUUUUUCAAAAUACCUUCUAAUUGUUGGGUAUAUUUAAGUAGUUAUUCAUAUCUCAUUAUCUUUUUACUCACAUACUAAUCUCCUUAUUGAGUAUUUACCAAUUACAAGUAGGUUGAAAGUUACUUGAAUUUAAGUCACUAAUCAAUGUUAACUUGAUGACAAAUAAGUCUCCCUUUGAAACUUGUUUUAUAACAUAGCGAAAUGUAGUCGAUCAAUCAUCAAAACAAUGUUUAAGCAUUGGGAUUUAGUUGUUAAUUUUUAUUUUUUAUUUUUUGUGCUUAAACAAAGACAAAAAUUAUAAAAACUCCUGAAAAGUACAUAUUAAUUGAAUUUAAUUUAUACAUCAAACAAGAACAAACUAGUCUUGGAUUUAAAAUUCAAUAGGUUUUGUAAUUAUAAUUCCUAAAAAUUUGUAAGACAACAAAAUUAUUGGACACUAGGCUAUUGGGUGUGUAUGACUAAGAGGUGAAGGAGGGUUCAUCUUAUACAAAGGAUGAUUUGAUUAAUUUUAAAGAUUGAAUAAACAAUAAUUGCAUAUUCAAGUAAAAAUAACAUUGCUAAAAAGGAAAAUAAGUAUUUUAGUCCUCAAACCUAAAAUGGCUAAAAAAUUUAAUUAAUACAAUUACAACUUCACCUACAAAAAAAAAAAAAAAAAAAUACCCAAAACUUUUCAAUAGCACAACUAAGUCCAUUUAUCAAAAGCUCUAUGAACAACAACAACUAUCAAAUCACAUAAAUCAUGUUGUUUACAAAGUGCCCUUGAUGUUUUAAAACAUAAGAUAUUACAUAAAAAUCAACCAAUAGUGUAUGACAUUAUAAAAAACAUAUCCAAAUCCAUUGUCGAACUUAAACUAAAUUCAACUUUAUAUACAUAGUCGCAAGUGGGUCUUUUUGUCUUUCAAUUUGGGUCAAAUUCAGAUGUUAGUUUUUUACACAACAAGGGAUUAUCAAG
This 63879-nucleotide long non-coding RNA is filed under the name Vitis vinifera (wine grape). RNAcentral describes it as "long non-coding RNA (VVIN_LNC002836)". Lineage: Eukaryota; Viridiplantae; Streptophyta; Magnoliopsida; Vitales; Vitaceae. The record is from RNAcentral.